GAUUUAAGACACAAAUUUAGACUUAAAACUUAAAUAAUCAAUUUGUGCCAGCGGGAAACACACAAACACGUACCGGUAAAUUAUCAUAAUCAGAAUUUGUCGACGAAUUUGAUAUUCUUUUACAAAAUAUACUUAUCUUAAUAUGUAUAACCGGAGUUUAUAUUACAUGCCCCUCUCCCAACGAUAGUUGUAGUACUCUUAUAAUAGUAGUACUCAUGAAUACAGUUAAUCCGGGUUGUUGGGAGAGAUCACAUGCAUAAAUACAACAUGAAACAAACGUGUGAAAAAGGUACAUAAAAUCGGUGUGACCCGUUCUUGUAUUAUAAGAAAUCAACUUGCUUAGGCCUUGCCGGACUCCUCACAACCCGGUGGCUUGAAGGCGAUGAAGCUGAUGCACUGCACUUGCCUGGUGUUGUCGAAGCCGAUGAUGCGGACAUAGGCGUCAGGGUACUCCUUCUUCACCUCCUCCAGCUCCUUUAGCACCUGCGUGGCGUCGGUGCACCCGAACAUGGGAAGCUUCCACAUUGUCCAGUACCUGCCGUCGUAGUACCCGGGAGAGUUGCCGUGCUCACGGAAGACGAAACCGACCUUGCUGAACUCGAGGCAAGGAACCCACUUGGAGCGGAUGAGAUACUCGAUCUGCUUCAAGAGGGACUCCACGGUGAGAGGCGGCAGGUAGGAAAGGGUUUCGAACUUCUUGAUGCCCUCAAUUGGCCACACCUACAAUUAGAUUAAUAAUUAGCACCGAAAGUAUAAUUUGAGACACAUAUCAGUAUUUCACUUCAACAUAUGUACAUGAUGACAUACAUACCUGCAUGCACCUGAUCCUUCCACCGUUGGAGACGCUGCCGAGACCAGCGCUGGCUGAGCGGCGGCCGAUGGGGAGCCCGGCGGUGGACUUGAGGCCCUGGAAAGGAGCAACGGCAGUAGCCGCUGACGACAUCACUGUGGGAGCCAUCGUACACGUACGUAGAUAGCUAACAAGAGGAGGCAGGCUUGCUUGAGUGCUCUCUAGCUACAGCGGCUUAUAUAACUGUAGGCUCCCCACCCAUCCAAUAUCAGCACAAGAUCUAGGAGGGGUGGCUGCAGUUCGCCGCGCGGAUUUGCCCAGGCCACGCUGGCAUCCUACGGAUCAGGUCGGGCGCCACAUGGCCGCACGAAAUGGCGCGCGUUAUCCUCUGGACGGAUACAAUUGGCUGCAACGCACUCUGCAAAUCAUGCCAUGAAGUGACCAAUUUUCACCUAUCAGGAUAGAUCCAAUGUGCCACGGCAUGCACUCAAAAACAGAACUUGCUAAUCCCUCCAAUCCAUAAAAAAUCUCGCCCACUUAUUAGAAAAUUUGUAAUGAGUUAAUGCAAAAUGAGCAGCACUUUUUAUGAACUAGAGGAACAACAAAUUAAGAGAAACUCUUCUAAGAUCUUAUCGAGAACGAAGCUUGCCCCCGCGUCGCUCAGUCUGGGGCGACACGGGCGGCAACCACACCAGCCCCGGCAGCAGCCUCUCCCCGUCCUCUCCUCCCCCUCGCCGCCGCCGGGCAAAGCCCGCACGGGGACGGCGGCGGCGGGGCUGUUUUUCUUGGCGGGGGUGUCCUAGAGCUCUUGGCUGAGGCGUUUGAGGUGCUGCCUCAUCGUGGUCGCGGCGUCUCCGGCCCGAUCCGGCAGGCUAUGCCUCGUCUUCGGCUAGAUCCGGCCGGCUUCCUCCCGGAUCCGGUGUUUCCCCUCGUUCUUCCUCUCCCUGGUGCUCGGUCUGCUCGUGGCUGCGCGGCUUCACGGCGGCGCUCUUCGGCCGGAUCUAGCUACUCGUUGGCCAGAUCCGUCAUCUCCUCCGGCUGAUCCGGCAUGUCCCAGGUCUCUUCGUUUCCAUCAUUUUUCCUCUCAGUUUGGUGAGGCGGCUGAUUGAACUUCACCGGCGGCAGAUGGGCUGCUGCUGCGGCCAUACAUGGUCCAAGUCGGUCCUUUUCGAUGCCAUGGUGGCGUGGUUUUCAUUUUCGGUCGCGUCUUCGGCUGCUGCCCGUGUGCGAGGUAUGGACGUCGGCUCCGGUGUUUGGAGUGUUGCUCUGGAUGAAAACUGCCCGUGUGCGAGGUAUGCCGAAGACAACGAUGUUGUAGCGCCGUUUUCCUUCUUGGAGGUGUCGUCGAAGAGCUUCACUUUCCCUCACUUUGAUGUUUGGUGUCUUCGGGUGAAAACCUAAGAUUUGGCUAUGGCCAGAUCGGGCGACAACGGCGUUUUUACGUCGAUUUCCUCCUUGGGGGCGUUGUCAUGGAGACAACGACUCUUGGUGGCAUCGGGUGGUGUGGUCCGUCUAUGGUGGAGCUUGUUGUCUCGAGUUGUUGAAGGUUUGGUGGUGUCUCUUCUUGUGUCAUGUGUUAGCUUAGGCUGUCGGUUUGUGUCCGGCGAGAACGUGCGUUUCUUAUCCUUUGGUGCGGUUUCGGCAUGUGAUGCCUUUCGUCUUCACUAUCGUCACGUAGGUGUCGUGUUGUAUUCUCGGUGGUGUGUGGUCUUUCGGCUUAGCCAACGGCAAGUGGAGGUAUGAUCUCGGUUGUGUAUUGCCCUUCGACUUCAUCGGCGGCACAUCGGCGUCGCGGUGGGUCUCAGUGACGCGCAGCCCUUCGACUCUGCCGGCUACGUAGGUGUCAUGGUGCGGCCUUGACCCUGUGCUUCCCUUCAGCUACGGCGACGACAUAGUGUCUGGGUGGGCUCGUCAGAUCGACGCCUUUCGACUACAUCAACUAUGCUCUUCAUUGUGCAUUUAUUUUGCCAUUGACAUGUUUCAAGAGUCUAGGUUUUUUCCUUGUGUUUCUUUUAGCAAAUGCUGUUCUGCAGGCUGGCUUUUGCCCACCCGAUCAGAAAAGAAAAACAAAUUAAAGGCUAAAAUCAAGCGAUGUUAUAUUCCCUUAGCUAUUACAAAUAUGGAUGAUAAGAGUUAUUUAUCCUUUUUCAACGAGUAACCCUUUACUUGGAAGUUCCAUGUGCAUGGCGCUGCAAGAAAACAAACAUCAUAAUGGGGCAAGACUUUUUUUUUUAUAAACAUCCAAUUUGGGUUAAAGUCUGAAAGAAUUUGGCUAUCUGAACUUUCAGUUUCCACAUUCUUUUACCUACUCAAUUCUUCAGCCAACAGGAUCAAUGGCGACCUACUAACACCAACCAGAACACAUGGGUCACAAACACGAAAAAGGGCUAGAAGGCUACUUAUACACACUCAUGUGUACUGCGAGCAAAAGAACAUAAUGUACAAAACUUUACAAAAUCUAGGGAAUUAAGACCUUCCCGUAUGCUGUUGCUGCCGCUGCUGCUUCAUGCUGGCUCUCCUGGCAACAUCCCAUGGUUUGUGAGGCACACCUACACCUUGCUGGGAUGCGAAGAACGACUCGUAUCCCGGGGAGUCGAAAGCAAAACCAGUGUGCUUGGAGUUCUCUCGAGGGAGCAUGGAGAUCGCAUAGCUUCUUGCUUCUUCUGGGCUCAAAUGGCUCCUCUCAGGCAGAUGUAUCAUGCUGUAUUCGUGGGGGUCAUCCUUGUGCAUCUCCUGGAUUACUUGGUAGUCAUAGGGAAAGAGCCAUCUUUGGAGCCUGAGAAAGCACACAGCAUCAAAGACAACAAUUGAUUCAGCUACUUCAGUAUGUACAAUGGAAGGAAUAACAAACGGAUGGCAUUAACAAACAUAUAAUUUUGCAAAAGAGCUGGUAUCUUACGAUAGAUACAGGAAAUCACCAAAGAGAGCGAUGACUGGAGCAAGCAUUAGUGUGAGGUAGAAGAAAAAGGUACUCAUCAGAACAUAAAUCACAAAAUAUACAUUUUCCUGCACAAGGUACACAGCAUUAAGUCAAUGCAUUUGUAGCAAGUAAUCGUCAUCAGCAGUGUAAUAGCUACAUUAUUCACCCACCUGUCGGUCAAAUGAUGUCAUUAUCGCAGAAUAUAUGAAGAUAAACAGAAACCAGGCCGCUAUACUGCCAGCUACGCUGAAAUAAUGCCAUCUCGUGAUAGAAUUGCACGACAUGAGGAGACGUAGAUUAACAGUCACCACAACACAAGUAAAGGCCAUCGUGCUAACAUCCCAUUGACCAAGAAUCUUGCCAGAUGAACCGUGACCAUGCUGACUUGCAGCUGCAGUAAAGUAAUAGAACACUAUUGACUGGUAGAAGGCAAAGAAACCCCACACCGCAAUCACUUUCCACCGGAAGAAUGUGUUCCUAAUUCCUUCUUGGUAAAGUUGUGGGUAUUUUUUUGAUAGAGAUGCACUCACAUCCUGAAAGGGUUCAGUUUAGUGAAUGUAGCAAGGAGCGUCACUCCAGAACAAGAAAAGUAGAACAAAUACAAGCAACCAUACCUUAUCAAACAACCCAACCAUAAUUACAGGUAGUGCCGUGAAAAUGACAUUAUACAGAGACUGGAACCAGUCAUCAUAAAAUCGCUGACCAGAAAAGCCAGUUUGGAAAGUGAACCAGAACUGAGUUAGUGUAAAAGUCAGAUUCUUGUAGAAGAAGUAUGUGAUAACCUGAAACAGAAAGUGUCAAUGUUAAAAAAAUUAAACUACACAGAUUGGCAGCUACAAGCUAAGGGACCAAAGCAUACCUUGCACAAUCUCAAGUAUGACCACCGCCCAUGUACAAGAAGUAAAUCCGUAAGAUAUCGAAACUGAGCAAUGGCAAAAUCACUCGCCAUAACAGCUUGCAUUCCUUCUUGUCCGCUGAUGCCAAUACCAACAUGAGCAGCUUGAAUCAUACUCACAUCAUUAGCACCAUCACCAAUACUGAGAGUUAUCUUACGUGCACCUUUCCUAACUAAACUUGCAACCUACAAAUGUGUCAACAUUACAUGUUUUGGCAUCAUUCGAACCCAACAGGUUAUUAGGAAAUAAAUCCAAAAAUAAGAGACUUUGAGAUUGCUGAUGGGAUGGGUAACAACCAAAUAAGCACAUAUACAAUAAGUUAAUUAAUACUACCUUUGUUUCAAAAUAUUAUACCAAAACGUCUUAUAUUUUGAAACAGAGAUAGUACUUAUAGUACAAGAGUGUACAGGACAUUUAGUUAAGAGGCCAAAACUAGAAUAGCAAAAGCAACCAAUGCACAGUGGUUAAUAAUGAUCUUGUGAAUCAUGCACAAACUAUUUUGUUGUCAAGGUACAAAAUUGGAUCCUUUAAAAUGUAAUAAUAUCAAUAUCCCCCGUUUAUUGCCCAAGCAUCCUGAAAGGCAUGCAGCUGAGAGCUGCAGACCAUACUGCUAAUUAUUUCAUGGGAAAAGGCAAGGCAUGCAUGAUAAGAACGCUAAAAGCGAGAAUUGAUAUUUACCUGUGCCUUUUGCAGUGGAGAAACUCGACAACAUACAACUGAUUGGCAAAUUAAACUCAAACCAAGAAGAUUCACACGCAGAGCUGGGUCUAGAGCGUACAUCAAGCAUCGUCCAUCAAUAAUGAAAGCCAACUUUCGUCCUGGCGUGCUCCUCAAAGAACGGUGGGCUUCCUCAAGGUAACUUCUCAGACUCUGUUUUACCGAGUCUUUGAUAACACGUGCAAUUUCCACAGGGUCUCCCUGAAAAUGACUGGAACAUUAUUCAUGGCAAAGAUAUGUGCAUAAGUUGAUUUACAUCAAUCAGAUACAAAUGCUAAAUUGCUAAUUAUGGUUGAUCAAACUGCAAAACACACGAGAUAUCCAAAAGGCUAUAUAAACAUGAUGGAGAGGCUAAAGCACUGAAACAACAGAAUCAACAUAAAGUAUUUUGUACUAUUAUGCAACUAAGCCUUUUGUCCCAAGCAAGUUGGGGCAGGCUAGAUAUGAAACCCAAACAGAAACUAAAGCAAAGUGCAGGUAACAAAAGAGCAAGAGAGUAAAUCAAGGUUCAGGCACAUGGACUGCUGAUUUCCAUGCAGCCCUAUCAAAAGCAAAAUCUCUAGAUACAUUCCAGUCCUUCAAGUCCCUUUAACUGCCUCCUACCAAAAGCAAAUAUCAUAGUAAUCCACCAACCAAAGUAACAAGGGAACUACUUGUAACUUCUUAGUUCACAAGUACAUACCAGUUGAGCUAUCCAAUUAUUCUAAAUAAUAUGGUUUGAUACCUUUACCAAAGUCUCAACUUGUAUUCAUUUUAAAGCUUAUACAAGAUAUUAUAUGUUAUGGCUUAACAGUCUCCAUGACACAAUAUGGCUUGACUUCACAGUUUAAUUCUAUAGGAUUAUCUUACCCUGUCUUCAGCAUCUCUAAUUGCAUCUGUCUCAGAAGUGAUGAUGAAUUGUUUUGUAUCGUUAUUCACCAGGCUGCACGCUGCAGAGCAAAAACUAAAUAACUUCAGAAGCUUUUCUAUGUCAGGUGAAAGAGAGAGAAAAAGACCGCCCGCCCCCCACCAAUAAUCCAAAACUGAGCUUCUAUUAGACCCCUUAAGAACGAAACAAGCAUGCAAAUUGAUCUAUAUAUAAUUAAAACCUCACCAUAUGCUAUAUUAAUUGCUGUUUCCAUUUUAUCUCCAGUUAGCACCCAAAUUUUUAUGCCAGCUGCAGAAAGAGUUUCAAUGCAGGCUGGAACCCCUUCUUGCAGUUUGUCUUCUAUUGCAGUGCACCCUAUCAAUAUAAGGUCCUUUUCAAUCAACUCAGCCACCUACAGGGGAAGAAACAGAAGGAAAUUAUAUGGCAAUGUCCCAGCAAUAUCUUAAAUCAGAAUAUACAUUAAGUCUAUUACUUCAAAUUCCUUUUUCCUAGAAAUCACAGUGAACUUAGUACAUGAAAGAAUGAAAGGAUAAUGCUUUUCUAAUGGGGAUUUGAAAAAACAUCAUAAAAAUAAUAAUAUAAAGUACUGUAUGUUCUUGUUCUAGAUAAAUUACAAAUAUCUUUUGCUCAUGAUCCUCUUUCCUGACUAAAAAAUAUAUAUUAUUAUGUAAAAUACUAAUGUUCUAUGGCAGUACAAGAUAAUAAAUUAGCACAAAAAACUAUUAAACUGCAAAUGUCAGCUGUUAGGGAUGGAUGACAUGACUCCUGUAGUUUUGGGGGGAGAGAGAGAGGAGACACACUGAACAAAUUACUUCCUUCGUCUCCAAAGAUUGCCAUGCCACAUUCUAUUCGGUCAGUCAACCUUUUACAACUUCAAAAUUAACAAUUAUAAGUGAAUUGAAUUACUACAUGAAAAAUAACAGCACUCAAUUUGCUUGCAUAAUAAUUUGUACGCAAAACUUUUGCUUGUAUAUUAGCAUAGAAAUCAUAGCCAGAGUUUUAUGUUGGGAGAAUAUAAAAUUAAAAAAUGGCCUACAUUUGUCAGGUACAUUCAGUUAAUUGUUUCCAAAACCAAAUUAAUUUUCAUACAUAAAUACCAAACGGAUCAAUAGCAUGCUCAACAGUGCACAUGAGACUCGAGUUCAGUACUGGAUGACAGAAAGUAAAAAAAAUCAGGCAAGCACUAGAAGGUGGAGGGGAAGUAAUCGAAAUUCAAAUCACAGGGACUGUUCAGCCUGUAUACUCAACAGAAGAGGAUGGUACACAUACCUCAUCAAGCUUCUUAUCACGAUCUCGUAAAGAAGAUUUAGCUUGAACAAACUUCUCAUUCCAGCUUUCGUACUGCUCCCUGCUUAGAUCUCGAUAAGCAAGGCAAAGCGUGCGCAAGCCAGCAGAGCCAAAUUGUUCUAGAUGUUCUCUGCUUGUCUUUUUAAUGUCAUGAUUUCCAUCAGCUAACCGUUCAAAAAUGACAUUAUCAGCGCCCUGUUACACAACAUUUGUAUAAGGUUAGUGCAUCAAUCUACAAAGUGAUAGCUACAUAAAGAUUCUUUUUUCUUGUAUUACCUUGCAAUACAGAACAAGUUUUCCAUUUGGGAAACGGCAAACCACAGAUUGGCGCUUUCUUGUACUGUGAGUGCAGUAAAGUGUGAAGUGCAGAACAAUGAUUUCAUCUUGUCAAAUUUAAAUUGAAAACAGAUAAACCAGACCUGUUGAAUUCCAAAACAUUCAGAAUUUCAUAUGCAACAUCUUGUAUACUCCCCAUCCUCUCAACAUGUGAUUCCCGAACCAAGACUGUGGUUGGCGUACGUCUACAAGACAGGCACAAAAUGUCAACCACCGGCAUUGCCAUUCACAAUAAAAAUGCCACAUGAAAUAAUUUGCAACAAAAAUCAUAAGAACUUAGAUGAGUUCAUGUUCACAGCACUUGCUUUAACACUUGUCUUAAUUUACAACGGCAAUUUUUUGUUGAUGGGCUAAUAGUUUAUUUAUGCUUCUUAGUAUGUACAUUCAGUCCUUCAUACAACAAACUAUAUAAGCAAUAACCUGGGUGAGUGACUCUUUUAUGCACAUUUUCCUUGGGACCAUAGCAUAGUUUUUUAAGAUACCUUGUUUGCAACAAACUGAUAAGAGGAAUCUAUAACUGUAUUUAAAGGCAAGGUAAGACAUGCCUAUAAAAGAAGAAACCAAAAUUCUUCGCAGCAGCGACAAGCGCGGCCUCGUCGGGAGAGGCAGCUUGAUAAGUAAUCUUUUCCGGUGUCUCCUCACCCUCAGGAAGAACUGUAUGACAGAUUGCAAGGCAUCUGCAGAAUUGCUAUAGAGCAAAUAACAAAGUUGUUACACAACUAGCACAUUAACAAGGGAAAAUGUGAAAAAGGAAAAUAGGUUCCAAAUUUUAUUAGUAAGGGCAUAUAUCGUGAUAUGUGAAUAAUUUGUGUCAACUAAAUCAAAACUGAUUAUGACCAAAGGGGAACCAAUCGAACUAUUCCACAGGUAGUCCCGUAUUUACCACGCAAGCAUCAGGAUUAGGUUCAUUUCUCCAUGCACCACGCAUUAUUCUAGCAUCAUCAAAGUUGAAUCCUUUCUCAUGAACUGCAGUGGCUGAUCUUUUACCCUAAAAAAGGCAAGUAAACUGGAUAUUAAAUCAGUUGUGCAUUAAAUUUUUCAUCAUAUACCACCACACUUCAAUAGCGUAAACAACAAAGAAAAUGUUGUAGACCUCAUCAUCAUCAAUCUUGACUCCGGCUCGCUCGGCUCCUCCUUUUUCAAUCUCUGUGAUGCCAGUUCCAUAUAUUUCCCCUCCAAUCGAACAUUUAAAGAAUUCCAUCAAGUUUCUUGUAAGUGUUCCAGUUUUGUCAGAAAAUAUAUACUCAACCUGAACCAUUAGUGGGGCAAAAAAAAUUUGGCAGAAAUGUCAAAUUAUUUGCAAGUGUUAAGUGCAUUUUAGUACCACUCGGCAUUUGUUCAGUCAUAUAAGCAUUUCUGGGGAUCUAGAACAGUUUUUCGGUGGGAGUAAGUCACUUAAUAUUAGUGAAAUGAGACUGUUCCCCAAGUGCUUAUAAUUGAUCCCACUUUCUGGAAUGAGUCGGUGCAGUGAGGUCAUUCUAUCCAUUAACCAAACCCAGCCAUAUAGGUCAAAUAAGUAAAUAACCCCAUUUCAGCAACAAACAAAGGGGCUUUCAUCAAACUAAACAGAAUGCUAAGGAACAAAAAAAAAACUGAUAUUACCUGCCCAAGCUCCUCAUUCAGAUUAGAAGUCCGAGCCAAAGCUGGGGUGUUGCUCUCGGCAUGAUACAUAUUCAGAUCAUUGUUAAUAAACUUUGCACACUGAAUGAAUUUGAUCAUCUGCCAGCCAAAAUAAACAUAAGGUCCAAUCCAAAUACAGGGUACACUAAAUGAUAAAUUGGUCAAUAUACCUCAAUGGAUACAUAAAGAGAAAUGGGGAUGAUCGUUGAGUAUAGAGUUAUUAGAGUAAACAUAGUUAAAAUGGUCACCUGCAAAAGUACAAACCUAUGAUAUAAGGCCACUUAGAGAAUAUUCUCUACAAUAAAUUAACUAAAAUAAUAUAUACCACAAAUCUGUUCUUGGGAUUAAACUGGUCCUCGACACGCCCACGCAAUCCAAGAUAGAAGUAUUUCUCAUUAAUAAACACGCCACUGUUCACAAAAGCCAAGUAUGAUGAGUCCAUUGGUAGAGUUUUAGGUUUCUAAAGAACGUGCAAGCUAAGCAGUCAUAGUUACCAAAAUCUAUAUGCUGAACAGAGCACUUCCAUUUCUGACCAUCUAGAAAGUGCCCUAUUAUGUACCUCCCACAUAAAACCACUAAGAAAAAAGAUAAGGCUAUUAAGACCUAGUCAUGUGCUCAUCUAUACUGCUCCUAUGCCACAAUAAAAAAAUAACUUCCCCAAACAAGCUCCUGACAACUCAUGUCAUAAUGUUUAAAGUUUAUCUCUCUAUUAACAGUUGUUUUUUCAUGAUCAAUUAAAUUGUGAAAAAUGAUUGUGCAAGCAUAAGCCUCCACAACAUCAACCUAACCGAUAUAACUCAUGUUCAGAGAAUAUACAUGUAAACAAUAAUACAAGAUAGAUAAGUCAAAUAAAUGAAGUGGGCCAAAUAAAACACUGACCUUCCAAUAGCACCAAUGACACACAUCGUAAAGAGGGUUGCAAAUAGAGCAAGAAUAAGCUUGUCUAGUUUCUUCUCCAAUGUACUUCUUUUAGAGGGAACAUUCAUAGAAUUCAUCAUAACCUGCAAUAGUGUCCCACUGCAGUAAAUCUCAAAACUAGAAGCACAUCUAACCUACAAGUUGAAUAUAUAGGGACACAAAAUUGCACAUACUUUCGUCUCAUGGCCCGUGAAUAUAACAGCCGCGACAAUGUACUCUGUAUUACGAAGGCUGCAUCCCUGUGGCAAAGUGGUAAUAAGAGGUUGCAUGUGUGCCACAUAAAGAGAGAGAAUUAAGUGUCAUGCAAGACACCGUUCAGUCUGGUGAAAGUAAACAUUUCUUUUGCACUUUACAAACAUUGCUUCAACCCUUCACCACUUAUCCUACAUAUGGGACUAGAGAAGAAAUGGAAGUUGUUUAUAUGAAUGUUAAACAUUUCCAAAUUGUUUAUAUCAUAGCUAUCCUUGUUUGCAAACCAAUAAGAACAAUAUUAUUAUAGAGGUGUUUUAUGAUGAAAAUUUCUGCUGGUGACAUUUGGGUGUCGUCAAUAUUGGUAUUUGGAGGAGAUGUUGGUGAUCAAAGUUAAAGGCCGAGUAAAGGCAUCACGCUAUGAUGUUAUUUUUUACCUGAGGGAUUUUCUUAACAAACUCAUGCUAAAUCUAGAACAUGCAAACAACUUUGCAGGUGGACAAUCUUGUAAAGAAAUUUCAAGGGCAUGUUUGUGUGAGGGGUAUUACUUUGGUACGUGUUGGUAACUACAUACCUAAUUGUUACAAGAAAAAUCUCAUCCAAACAAGCCCUAAGGACAUUAUGGACCUUGCUACUGCAAAGUUGGUAAGUCGAAAAUACGACAGGAUGUCUGAUUGAUAUGUAGGACCUGGACCCACAUGUCAUUCUCACAGCGAGUCGCACUAUUUCAAAUGUCAACUUUGUGGUGGCAUGGUUUCAAUUUUCCCAAUAAGAAACUAGAUACAAAUAGCAUAGAUGAACAGCACUUACCCUUAGUAGUAUUUGAUUUGGUGAAAUUGGUAUAGUUUGCUUGUCCACAAUAAGGUUCCCGGUAAAUGUAUAAAGUGAAUUGUUUGGCUGUUCGCAUUGUAUUUCACCUGUAAGCCAUGAAACAUACAGAUAAUGUGAAGUUAAGAAAAUGUAGAAUAGUUAAGUGAAGUUCAGAAAAGGAGCAAUGCUUCCUACACCAACUACCGAAAAAUGUCUGCAACAUGGAACAAGAAUAGAUAAAAACCUUUGAAUUCAGAAGCCUUUUCAGGAAUUACGCAGUCCCAGGUUUUCUCCAAAGCCUUCCUUAUUUUCAGGUUAGUUUCCCCAUCAAGAUUUGCUGUCUAAGGUAAAUAGAAGUAUGAUACACUUCAAUUAAAACAGAGUUUCUCUAAAUCAUUCAAUAAUUUCAAUUUGGACAAAAGAUGGAGAAGGUAAGAAUGAAUAUAUUGACCUCUAUGUAGCAGACACCAUCAGGGUUCGUACUUGAUAGGAAGAGCAAGUCAGAAGGAAAGUAAGUGUCUUGCUUGAUCUGCUCUAAAGAAGUGCCAUCACUAUUAGUCUUUUUGGAUAUGUGUAUCGAGCUGAAGAUUAAAUUUGCACAGCACAAAAGAUCAAGUGCAUUAAUUUGUGGAAGCAACAGAUCAAUUGAAUUGAUCAUCAAAUUGCUAUCAGGAAAGAUGAAGACAUUACCCUCACAAUAUCUCCAACCUGCAGUCUUUUCCAAGGGGCACUUUCCCAUUUUUGACCUUGCAAUACAUCGACGUGCGCAUUAUUAAUUGACAUGUCAUUCUGGAAACGUUUCUGUAUAAUGGGAGGCAAACAAAAAGGGAAGAAUAUCAGAUAACAUUAAGAAUAGCAAUAAAAUAGUGGAGCAACAGAGCAUGAGAGCAAUACUAACCCAGUCCUCAAAAGCUUCCUUGAUGAGUGAAACCAAAAGCACUAAACUAAGUGGAACCACAUUGGUGACAGGGUGGACUGGACUGCGAAGAUACAAGCAUGUAUGAACUAAGAUUUCUAGAAGUAAAGGUGAAGGAAAGCAAAGGAUGACUGAAUCAACUGAUGGACUUGAUAUGCUAAGAAGUGUCUAGCUGUAACAUGAGAAUUCCAUAGGGUGCAUGCAUGAGAGAGAGAGAGAGACCUAAUUGGUGUAGUCGACAAGAUUGAAAUCAUAAGAAAGUAAAGAUUUGCCACCCGUCUGAACUGUCAAAGCAAAAAAAAAAACAAAUGAAUUACAAAAGGUUCCUAUGGUCAAAUUGCGAUAAUACAGAAAGGGAACAUCUAAAUCGGUGUUACAGCUACCAUUGCAAAGUUUCUUUAUUCGAUAUGGAAAAAUGCAUUACAUGUUUAAUGUAUGAAGCCAUUGAAAUACUUUAAUGUACCUUACGUAAAAAACAGUGGAUAAUGAAAUUGCCAGAAUUAUGGUAUCGCAUAAAAUGAAGGUUACAUUGAGCGAAAAGCAUGAUCAGGGCUUUACCAAAUAACAAAAUCAUACUUCUCCUUUUCUCAAUAUAUGGCAUUUUAGGUUUCAUUGAAGACAAGUCUUUGAAAAGGAUUUACUUUGUGUUGUUUUUAAGGCAUGAAAUUUAUAUCACUAGAUUCAUCCUCAAAAGUACUUAAUGUGGAUUCAUAUCAUAUAAAUCACAUAUUAAUGAAGUAAUUCUUGGUCAAAGUCUUGUAUUAACGAAACCUAAUAUGUCCUGUAUUGACAAAAUGAGGGAGUAUAUUAUCUAACAGUGCAUGUAUACAGGCACGAUACUGGUAGCGCGUAUUACAAGCAAGGUAUCUUAAAAACAUUGCAACACAGUGCCAGACCAGGUAAGCAACUAAGCAUCUCAUGUAUCCACUAUUUUAAGGGAAGUUGAUCCAGAGUGAGGAAAUAAACAUUUUUAAGGAGAUAUAUCAAUUUGCAAUGUGAAAAUGAUACGGAGUAGUAUAAUCAUUUCACUGUGAUAACAAAUACUCCCUCCGUUCUAAAUACUUGUCGCUGUUUUAGUGCAAACUAAAACAGCGACAAGUAUUUAGGAACAGAGGGAGUAACUUCCAUUUACCGUUAGACAUGAUACAAAAUAAUAUGUUGAAAAAAAAUCUAGCCAAAAACUAAAAAACAAACAGAAAAUCUGCAUUAAACGAUGACAAACCCAGCAGGUAUGUUGAUUAACAAAAUAUGUAUGAACAAAAAACAACGCAUCAAUACCUGUUCAAACAAUCCUUUAGGUAGAAAUGUCAGCACACUGUACUUUGUAGUCGACACAGAAUUUCCCUGGAAAUGUAGAAUGAGAAUGUUAAAGAACUAAUUCUAGCAGAAAAACAAAGUAGCGCUCUGCAUUAGAAUCGCGAUGGUCUGAUACCCAACAUGAGGGAGAUUCUGAAACUAAACAGAAGAGCUAAUUGCAACUAGAAGCAUGAAAAAAGUAUAGCUUGAUCUUUUUACAACAUCAAGUCUGAAUACAUUCAAGCAUUUACACUAACUUGGAACAAAAUGUGGGUGUCAAAGAAAAUGCAUGAAUACACCUACUUACAAUAAAGCACCAAUUUUGCAGUGAUUGGACAAACUAUGGUUAAAAUACUUAAUAAUAGAGUUCUACGUAUUUGGAGGCAUAAAACGCAUUGCAGUUGGAGCAGUGGCAUUAUCAUGUUAGUCAGUCUAACAUGGCAGUGAAUGACGUGAAUUUUUUGCUAGUUUAGACCUCUGGCCAGCGCAAUUGACAAAAAUGCCCCCCUCUCAAAACUAAUGCCAAAAAUGGUCUGGCAGAAGGCCCGAAAGGCGCCACAUUUCAUUUUUCGCCAUCUGAGCUGCGCAUGCAAACAUUCCGACAACCUGAAAGGCGGAAAGGCCGUUCCGCCUACUGCAUUUGAUGAAUGCACCUGACAAGGGCGGAAGGUGAACUGGGCCCUGCAGAUGGAAGCAAUUUCCACAUUUGUUACAGACCUGGAAUCUUUUUUUUUGUUGGAGUCGACGGACCAUGUAUGUGCGGAUGCAUAGGAAUCGGCAAGCAGCCUAGCUGCUAGUUCACGGGCACGUUUUACAUUUUCUUUCCUCAGGUUUGGCUAGUGCUACCACGUUGAUACUAAUCAACGCUUCUUGUGAAUGGGCUUAGUUGCUUCUACUAGUCGUGCGAGCGUUAAUCUUUUCUCUGUGCGCCUGCAUGUGCGGGCGUGGGAAUCGGGUCAGGUCCCUGCAGACAGCACGCCUGGCUGCACUGGGCCUGCUUCAGCUUCCGCCCCUGAAAAUUCACUUUCGUCCAUUUCAACUGGAAACAAGUAGGCUCCACCUGUCCUGUUGGCGGAAAGUUCAUUCCUCCUACCCAGUGGCCACUGGGUCAGUUGCUGGGCUUUCCACCACGUCAUUUUUCAAAUUAUAUUUCAGAUGGAGCUAUUUUUGCCAAUUCCGUUUGACAAGGGGCUACAAGAGCAAAGAAAUUGAAUGACAUAGCAAGCAAUCAAUUUCCCCUUAUAGGUAAAUAAUAAACAGCUUUGCUUCAGCUUACUGUCAUCAGCUGGUGGCUGACUGCCCUGACCAAACACAAGUUCAGUAAUCUACACAGCAAGCGGCACACAGGUGCAGCUAAGCACAUGGAUGAACAGAAUAUUCCAGCCAUUGAGGCUCAGCUCUCGAAGCUUAAUGCCAGGUGGCAUCUACAUUGUAUUGCAGCCCGUAGCACCCUGAUUGACUAGUAACCCAACAAUGAGACAAGCUCUAAUCCACCCAAUGACCUCACAGUUGGCAAGAAAUGCAGCCCUUAGUGACACGCACCACCCUACAUAACUUUCUCGUGGACUAAUCAGUAUGAAUCAUAUAAACCCUCUGCAAGCUGCAGUGAAAUAAAACUACUACUACUGAACUAGCUAUUGUCCCAGAUGGCCAUCUCCAACCCAACCGCCCAAGCAUGAAACAAGGGGCCAGUUACGAGAUCUAGGCCUACAGACCCCUAGACCUUGAGACAACCGACCUGUUGAUCAUCCGAAUUAGAGGAGGAGGUGCACACCCGUACCUUGUACCCGACCGGCGCGUUGGCUUCGCGGUCGUUGCAGUAGAUGGUGCGCACGGUGGGUGCCUGCGGCUGCGGCUGCCGUCGGAGGCUGCCGCCCCCGCCGCCGAGACGCGCCGUCCUGGACGCCUCAGCGCGGCCGGCCUGAGAGGUCCCCCCCCGCGGCGACUGCUCGCCGCCCAGCCGCGCGGUGGCAACCCGCAUCAUCUCCUUUAUGCGCGAGCUCAUCCUGCCCCCCUCAGCGCCAAACCCAGCGCUGGAGGAGCCGGCGGGAGAUCUGGGGAAACCUCACGGUGGAUCGGAGGGGAGACCUAGUCGGAUUUGCGCGGCUUUCUGGUGGAUUUCAGUGCCUCGCUGAGGAGGGGAUUCGAUUUGGGUCACGCGUUCCCGUAUGUGCGUAUUUUUUCCGUGUAAUUUUUUUGUUUUGCCUUUUUCUUUUCCUUUGGCUCCGGGAGAAGAGAAGACAGGAGGGGAAGGAAAAGCGAAGGUCGCGACUUCGCGAGGAAGAAAAUGAAGGGAUUACUGCAGAUCACACCCUUGAUUAUUUUCGAAUAUGGAAAGCUCCAGUAACUGAAGUUUGAAAUUCCAGCCGCGUUUGUCUUUUCCUUCUUCGAGCAAACAACCGUGUUCUUGACUUGUUCUAUGUUUUUGCUGUCCGGAGGACUACCCGAUUUGCAAGUAAAUAAUGGCAUUAAUUUCAUAUAAGCACUUUAGGACACCACACUUGACAUGGUUUUCUACUGACGACGACUAUAUGGUGGCUUUGAUGUUCCAUGAAUAGAUCUUUUUAGCGGUGUUUCAAGUUCAGGUGUUAUAACAAAGCAUUACUCUUGACCUAUCUUCCCUUGCGACCAUGCUUUUUGAAUCGCCAAGUCGAGUCGAAUCGCCCCCCAACAGACUUGGAGGUUAGUAUGAUUAGUCAGAAACUAGUCUCGACUAAUCAACCCAAGUCGAGCCUAGUGAUCAGUGAGGUUUAGGGAGCUCUAGCAGGGAGCAUUAGAGGAAAGGAGUGAAUUGCAGUAGAGGGGAAGCACGAGGGAACAGUUUUUGUGGUGCUGGAGCUUGAAGAAGAGGUUCAUGGCGGCUAGGAUCUAGGAGUCGAUAAACUUAGAACGCCCGUGUUGAGGCAAACGCGUUGAGGAAGACGACUUCAAAGGUGGUUGGCUCAUUAUCAGGAUAGGUGCGUGCCUGGCAGCCCAUAAAGGCCUAUUAGAAAACCCUAACUCCCCCCUCCCCCCCCCCCCCACACACACAUUGCCUUCUUCUACACCACACACGCACCAAUGGCGGCCAUCUUCUUCCCCUUCCCUGCUGCUCCCCAUGCCUUCUCUCCCUCCCCGAAAAGAAAUAUCUUCCGAAAAUUCUUCUCUUCGAGUCAAGUUGAGGGGCUCGCGGCGUUCCUAGUCACGGCGGCUAGUCGGAGAAGUCGCGGUUCUAGCUGACGAGUCGCGCGACUUGCUCUGCUAGUCGAGUCGCGGCUGCAAGCCGCCAUCAUUGUGCUGGCUCGGCGACUAGUUGGCGAUUCAAAAACCAUGCUUGCGUCUUAUAAUUUUGUUUCCUCUUAGAUUUUUUUCAAUUAUGUAUGGAACUCUUUUAAGCUUGGCUAACAUAUUGGGUCAAUUUGUCUCCCAUUGAAAAAAAAACAAUUUCCUAUAAAAAAUAAAGUAUCCACAAAACAAUAUGCAUAGCGCAGUUGUUUUCAAAGUUGUGGAUGAAACUUUGUGUUGUACAGGCAACCACUUAAUAACUUGUUCGGUUGUAGAAUUCCCCGCAUGUAUUGAAGAGGAUUAAGAGAGAUCUAAGGAAAAUUGAUCUGCAAUUCGAUCAUUCCCUCUUAAUCCCCAUCGGAGUGGAAUCAACCGAACGGGGCUAAUGUGGACCAUAUCACCUUGAGGACUCCAUUCUUCUUUUAUGGCAACGUUGCAUGGACCUUGAUAUGAACGCACGUGCCUGCAAUCUCUAUUAUUUUUUCGUAAAUAGCAACUGUCCUUUCUGUAUCUUGUAAUAUGUUUUCUACAAUUUUAUUUGGGAUAUUUCGUCAAGAACCCAAAUCGAUUACAUUUUCCACUUUGGCGAAUGAGUCAAGAUUCUCCAUGUGUUCCAGCGAGGCAACUGCGAGCUACACAUGUAUGGUGAAACAAGCCUCGCAACUUCGUAAGUAACUCCAAAACUACAUCAGCACGUCUCUUGAACUUUGGAAACACACAGACGUGUUCCACGACCGUGAGGCGACGGAGUUAACGGGGCAGCGUUGCCGGAAAGACAAGAGUACCGUAACAAGGCCCAGACUGGGCUGCAUCGGCGUUCUGCCUCUAUUACAAGCGAGAGAUGUUGAACCGGCCAAGGUUAGGCAAGGCAGUCAGCGGGAGGAUUUUUUUUUUUUUGUUGUUGGUUUUGAAGAGGCGCGGGAGGAGAAGAACUUGCUUGACCAGCCCACAAGAUCGUGAACCGGUAUGACAUUGACAUUUUAUUUAGGGCCAGUAACGUGUAAUUAGAAGUACUAGCUUACAUCUCUUCCUUUUUGAACCGUCAGAUCUGCAACCAUAUCAUCUCUCCCCUUUGUCCUCUUCGCUAUGCCGAUUUUAGUGAAACGCCGCUGCCAAAUCUUCACAGGAUUGUGAACCGGCAGCAGCUUCGACCCUUCAAUAUUAUUAUUACAGCUAAAUAAAAGACUGAAAUUAUAGGUGAGGUCCUUUGUUCUAAUCGCCCAAGCGAGCAGAAGCCAAGAGAUUACGUGCAAGCAUAGCAUGGCCAUGUUCGCCAACUCAUGACAUAGUGGCACAGGGACUAACCACCUGGAUUACAUGGCUAGCUUCCAUAUAUGUGCAACAAAAUAUUGGUACCAGGCAGCCAUCUGUGCCACCAACCAUAAACUCCCUGAUCCCAAAAAAUACAAAAUACCAAGAGUUUCCACCCACAUCAGUACAAGUGCACAACAGUUUAAGAGACAAGCCAAGGAUCAUUCCCAGUUUGUGGGAAUAAAUAAGAGUCCGCAGCAAACAGAAAACUCAAAAUCGCUGGCAAAGUUAGGAUGUGGAAAAAAGAAAGGCUUAAAAUGAUCUAGCCAUGGCGUCAGAAUCUAUUAUCAAUGUUUCUCUCUCAAGGAUUUCCCUUCUAUAUAAAGUAUAAUAUUACAAAGGGGCUGCUUAAAUAUCAUGGACUCCUGGAAUGUAAAGAGGGUAAUAAUCAACACUACAUGAGCCUCCUUUUUCCUGAGGCUGCUUCCUAAGACUGACUGACUGCUUCCCCGAGGAUCCACAUACACCCUCCCCUCUCCUCAAGUUCCACCUCCCACCAUGGAAGUUAAACCCCCACCAUGGAUCCGAUGCUAACCAACUGUACGCGACCUGGAGAAAGUCAGUCAGCUUGGUGGUUCAAUCAAGACAGAGCAUCACGAUAUUGCCCAAAUGGUAUAAUUGGCAGGAUCAAUAAGUAGUUUAUGCUCGCAGCAAGAUCCAAAAGAACCAAUCUACCAUGACUAAUGUAUGACAAGAAUGAUGUCUUAUGUCUACUUUCAGAUACACUAUGGUCCAGGUGAAACAAUAUUUUAAAGUUUAGUAAUUACUGGCAGUAGUAGACAGACCACAGAAGUGUAAAGAUAUUUGCACACAUGACCUUUUAAUCCAAGGCUAACCCAACCUUGUAAGCUACGUGCUGUUUGUGCUAACGCUGCUGCUUGAAUGCAAUUAGACAGUGGUGAUGUCCUUGUUAGUCUGUUACAUACCUAAGGCAUCACCUCCUGAUUCUAGGUUUGCACCGGAACUCUGCUAAGAGCGCUAUGUGAUCUGAUGACCAUUCAGGUGAAGGAAGAGCAGUGUCUUUUCUUAAGCUCUCCUCAUCCAGAAGUUCCAACAAAGACUCCACGGUCAACGAAUCCGCUGAAACAAUAAAGGAAACAUGAUCAACUGACCAUAAUCAAACAUAUCACAAUACUACAAGCUGAUUCUGAAGCAAUUCCCAGAAGUCUAAAUACAGCAUACAGGUCAGGUACCUACCUGUGUAAAAUAUAUAAUCAACAGUUCCAGUGAAAUCCCUUGUGCAAUUUGUGAAAAGUGGUUCAUUUGUUCCUGGAUCCAUCCUCCUUCGCUGGUGCUCUAAAUCAUAGCCAACACCUACCAUUCUUGCAAAUGAAGAAUAUGCACUGACCUGCAAACAAGUAAACAUUGGUCAGAAUUUUAAAGGAAGAACAAGAUAGACAAGCUUGAUAGUUUUACUGUACCAGAGGAAGCUGGUGCGUCAACUUGCUCACGGGGCGUAAAAUUGAAAGUGGGUCUAUGGCCAGAUCUGGAUGCAAUUGAUCAACUUUGCCCACCGCAAGAAGCCCAUGUGGAGUACUGAAAGACAAAAGGAAGCACUUAGAGAUUUAAAGUUAGAAAAAACAAGUAAACCUGAAAAAUAUUGCUCCAAUAGAAUCUUGACAUGCACCUCCCCGGGAUUGAAUUGAAAUCCCCACAGACCAACAUUGGAAUGUCUGCACUGUUGGCUAUUUUCUCCAAUCCUUUUAGUAGUGUUUGAACCUGCAAAAAACAUACUUACUUUCGAUCUGAAUUUUUCAGAUGUUGCAGAAUGCUAGCCUACAGAGAAUGUGACAAUACUGACCUCCCAUAGUUUCACAUCUUUGAGGUCUUGGUGGACAUUUACAUGUGUAUUGGCCUGAAAUUUGAGAUCAUUUAAAAGAAUGAGACCUCCAUGACUCCAAGUAGCAUAAGCCUAGGCCGUAUGAACAAUGGGAAAUCUGUAGUAAAGUUGGCCUCAAAAUCUAGAGUCUAGAGAGCCAAGUCCCAAUCAUCCGCCAUUAACAUAUAGAUGUUUCCGUGCAUCUUAUGCUACUAAGGUCAUCCUACACAGAUAUAUGUUUCACUUCAUUCCUAAAUGUUGUGAGCAAAGAAGGAAAAGAAUCCAUAUGUUGUUCUGCACUAUGCUGCUAGCAGUUCAAUAGCUAAACAUACGGGAAAGUCCACUUUUGGCCCCUUAACUAUUGCCUCAGAUCAAAAUCAUCUAAUUUGCACCCUCAACUAUCAAAAGCAUCCAAGUUACAUCUGAAGGCAAUAUUUGUUAGAGGCUUUGUGUGAUGUGGCAUCCAUGUCAACGUGUUUUGCCACAUCAAUCGCUGCUGGGCAGUAGGGCCCACAUAUCAUGGCUGCCGUGCCCCUUCUUUCUUUAUAAUUCUUCCUCCUUAGCCAUGCCAUGGCCUCCUCUGUAGGCUAUAGCUUCCACUGCUGCUGCUACAGAUAACCCAUGUUUGACGUUGCAUAACAUCUUCUGAUUUAGAGAGGGGUAUCCUGACAGACAUGUACCAGUCUCCGCAAACCGCUGCACGGCUGCAUCCUGAGGGGAAUGGACAAAGAGAGGAUUAGAGAGGAAGGCUGAGGAGGGAGGCGUUUAGGGCGACUCCAACACGGCCACCCAAAUCGGACACAAAAAGUGUGUCCGUUUGGGUCUGCUGGUGCCCCUAACACGGUCACCCAUUUGGUCCGUUUUAUUAUUUAGUAUUGGCCACGGAUAGGCGGGCCAGGGCAAGGACAAGGGAGGACAAGCGCAGUGUCCACCCGCUGUCCGCCCAGACACAAACCCGGUCAGAUUUGGGUCGGCAAUGGGUUGAGCUGGACAGAAAAGCAGACAGCCGCCACACCGGACGAAAUGGGUCGCCGCGUUGGAGUCACCCUUAAUGCUAAGCUGGGAAAGAGGAAGGGAACAGAAAUAAGAGGAUGAGGACAAGGGAGGGAGAAAAGGGUGCUUCCAAAAAAUCAAUCCCAGGCAUGUGGGGCCUACUGCCCAGUGGAGAAUGAGAUGUCAAAGUUGCUGAUUUGGCGGCUACAUACAGAAUAUCACUCAUGAAACCAGCUUCUGGUCCUAUCGAACGGUUUCAUGAGUUGAUGGUUCAAUUUAGACCAGGCAAAAGUUGAGGGAUCAUAAUUAGGCUUUUCCAAACAUAAAUGAAUGUCAUGCUGUAAAAGUAGUGUUCGUCAUCCAGUAAACUGGUUCGAAUAUCCAACAAGCGCACAACUACUUUAUACACAUCUAAAGAAAGAACAGCUAUUUACAUACCACACAAAGGAGCUGCCUUUUACCAGGAGUUUCAGUUCCUUGGUUGCCAAAUUUUGCUUCUAAAACCGCAAUCAGCGCAAUAUUAUCCUUCAAAGCAAAUAGAACGUGUGAUAAAUAACAUCACUUUUUUUUGCGAAAAGUGAUAAAUAACAUCACUGUAGCAUACAUUAUUUCUUUUGAAGUUAAUCUUACUUUAAUCAGUCGACUUAAAGCCACUCUUUUCUGGGAAGCUGGAAUAAUAGCUUCUGUUAAAGACUGUGCAGCCUUAUUGAACUCAACCUACACAAGCAAGUACAAGUAUUAGAUAGCUGCAAAUAUCAAGCUGCUGCAAACCUGCAGUACAGGUACCUCGUAUUUUUUGACAUGUGAAAAUCUAUCUCUACGGAAGAAAGUAGCACAGCCAUCAAUGGCAUUAGGAACUCCAGCAUACACCUGUGACAACAGUAAAGUAAAAUCAAACAAGAGACAAAAGGUAUUAAACCAAAAUAUGAAGGAAAAAAUCAACCCAAAGAUACCUCUGUUGUCCGUUUCUUGUAAAGCGCCUGAUACCCAUGUUUAUCAAACUCAGGAGCAAAAAAAUCCUCAAAGUGGUUCAAUUGUACCUGAAAACAGUAGGACUUGGCUUAAUUCCCUCCUGUUACAAUCUUCGGUCACUCUUCGUUUUUAUUGUAAGCCGCUUCAGUAAACUCUUCAUAAUAUAUAUGCAGACAAUAUUCGUGAAAGUUUAAACAGCAAGCAAACUAUCAUAAAUUCAUAAUCCAACAUCACUGAAAAGUGAAAACAAUCAAACAAAGUGAUGGCACAAAUAUGGAAACGAACAGCCCAGCAGUAUAUGAAAGAUUGUAGGUUGAUGAACAGGGUUCCGGCAUUAAAGUUUACCGAGUCGCAAAAAUUAUAUGAUCAACCAAAUGAGACAUGCUCGGUUCCUAAAACAAAUAUAUGAGAUGAAAAGCUGAAAAUAGGUCACCAAAAUAAAUAAAUUCAGAAGAUAGCAAACAUAUGAUACCUCCUGAAGACAUAUAAUAUCAGCAUGAUAACCAAUAAUUUCGCGCAUCAAAUUUUGUCUUCUGUAAGUCCAUGAAAGUGCCCACGUUGGGCAGUAGCUAUAUGCAUCAGAUGUAGCAUAUGCAUCAGCAAGAAUAUUAUAGGACAGCACCGUGAAUGUCCCAAAAGAAGAAGUCUGGCUGUCUAUAUCUGAGUGACCCAAAACAUCUCCAUUCACUUGGAUAAGGCGGCGUGGAGUAGGAGUUGGUGCUGGAAUCACACGUGAUGUCAUAAUUGAAGUUGGAGACCCCGCAGGUACUUUCUUUUCCGUAUCCACCGCUGCACAUUCAAAUCUUAGAACAUGCCCAAUAUCAUCAGCAGUUGGUGUAUACGUCUGCGAGCGUCCCACUUCAAACCAUGUUUCACCCGAGUUCUUAUCAGUGCCUGAGGGAUACAAGGGAACAGGUCCAUUAUUAACUCCAGGGCUCUGUCCAAGAUUUGACAUUGAGCCAGACCCAGAACUUAGAAUCCCAGAACUACCGCUGCCAAAUCUACCAAAUAGCUCCUCCUCUUCAGCUCCAUUUUCAUUUAAAGCACUACUAGCUCGCUCAUGCAAAACCCUGUGGUGCUGCCAUGCAUCAGAGAAGCACUUAGCAGAACAAUGGUAGCUCUUAGCAGCAGGUAUUUUUGACUUGAGACAACCUAAGCACUGAAUUGUUGCUUGCUCCAUCGGAUGUACACUGCAGAUAGUAACUUUUCGAUCACUCUGUAUGCGAUACCUUCGAGCGAAAAGUCAAAUCAGUAUAACCAUGUGCUACUAGAUACAGAAAAAGUUUAGAAGAACAUGAUUGAAUAUAGUAACUACAAGAAAGGACACCUAAAUUGCCAAUGUUUUAGCAUGUAUGAGAUCCAGGAAAACUUGCUAUCAGCAUCUUGGAAGUCCAUUAUUCAGAGACAUUAGACUCACAACACUUCCAUUAUAAGCAUAGUAUGAAUAAGGCAAAAUGAAGCAGGUUGCCAAGAUGUCGCAAAAAAAAAGAAGCAAAUUACAAGUUUGCUUGUCAUGAGUUGCUGCUGCUGUUGUUUUUUCUUGAUUUUAGUCCCUCAACCGGCUAACUCGUGAUCAUUCAUCUCUUGCUUUCUUUACCAGAUCAACCAUGCAACUGAUUUCUUUAGCGGACCAGGCAAUAUAUGUAAUAAGCAAAAUUCUACAGUUUAGAUCAGAGAUUCAGAGGACUAUUGCAGGCUCUCAUAUAUCAUCAUUAGGGCAUGACGACCAGACAAGGAAGUUGCUGUGUAUAUUAUUAUUCCUAGAAGAAAAACAUUUAAGUACUGUUCAAGGAGGCGACCAACUAUAGCCCAGUGCCCACCCCAUCAAUCGAUUAGUGUCUUUCAGAACACUUCAUUUCAACAAUGUGUCUAUAAAUGGCCACACUUACUAUACUCAAACCUCAAACCUUAAAAGUGAAUAAAGAUGCACAUAUCACAUGAGAUUCUAUCAAGCUAAUGACUGAAAAGCAACACAAUGAAAAUAUAAAAAACUAUAGAAUUGAAGGACCAAAACCAAUGAAACUGCAUGAGUGUUAGUGGGACCAAGCACCACCAUUUCGAAAAGUUCUAAGGUCUAAAGUCUCAGCAAUAAAUGCUAUUUAAACCUACAUGACAUUAAAAAAACGGAUGUGAUAAAACAAAUAAAUAUUCACGAACAUGAUCAAUCAUUCAGAGCGGGAUUCUAAAAUUGAUCACUGAAAUUGUUCGGCCACCCAGCUAUUAGUGAUUAUACAGCCGAGCUAGCUCAUUGCAGUGGGUGGCAUAACCAGCGGUUACAAGUUCUUUUCUCUCAUAUUUGCCUCUCCAUUUUUCAUUUUUUUAUUUCCAAAUAGAUCUACAAUGUUAUUUGAAUUUUAAAAAUAAUAGGUAGGGCACUCCUUACAUACAUGACCUCCUAGGCCAUUUAAAACAAAUAUGCAUUGUUUGGGGUUUUUUAUAUAACAUAAAGUAAGUUAACUAUGACACACUGCCAAAAUAUUUUUGCAUAAAAAACAUUAAAUUUGAUAUAGCACAGAAAGAACGUGGAUAUCCAGCAAGAGAUUAAAGAAGGCAAAGUGGGGCAGGCAGUCAGCAAAACAAAACUAGUGGAUCACGAGUUUCAAACUUUUACUAGCUUUAAGCAACUGAAAUAACUUGCCACUGAACCUAGUGAGCCAACAACUCUAACGUGUAAUAGCAAACAAGUAAUAAUUCUUUUGAAGCUCCAGAAUAAUCAAAACUGAGUCUAGAAUCAAGCUAGAAUGCCCAUUUGAGUUCACUGGUGAUGUUAGAGUGAUACUUAGUUCAAGGAGUAUAUCCAGAUACCCCAAUCAAAAAAAUCAUCUGAAGCCAUGCGAACAAACUGAUGGCACUUCUAGAAUAGUGUCUUUCCACAAAAUUAGUUAGAUAAGCCUAUGUAAUCCCAAAAUUUAUAAAAUGCUCCCGUUCCAUCCAAGAUGAACGUAAACAUUCCUGCACAACGAUUGGCAACAAUCCUCAACCCAACAGCCUUCAUCACCAUCCUAUGAUGCUAUCUAACACUCAAUAGUUCUAGCAAAACCAAAAUCAGAUGGUCUGUUUUGCUCAAUGAAUUACUUAUUAUCAUUACCAACCCGUGUGGCAGGUUGAUAUGGCAUAGACUAAAUAGUAUGAUUCAUAAACAGGCUUAAAAUAAUGCAAUACUGAGUUCUUUACCAAAUCAAGCAUUGGCAUUUCAUGUUCCCUGGGUUUCCAUUCGUUCCAAAAACAAACAACUGUCUUGCUAGAGAAAAUCAUGCUCAGAAUUCAUAUAGUUGUGCUUCAUUUAUGCAAGAAUCAAGACGAUUCAUGAGUUUAGCAAGUAGUUAAGCAUCUAGCAAACUGAUUGAUACUUAAAGCCCCCAUUUUCUUUUUUUCUUUUUUGUCAAAAUUCACUUGUAGCAACGCACAAGCGGAACUAAGCAUUCGAAAGUGUAUAUCCUAUUGAACCAAAAGUUGCAAUCACGAGCUGCUCACUCACCAUCUGUAUCGCAUGAAGUGGCCAUCAACAGGCGCGGCCUCAGGCACGUCGUCGGUGGAGAUUACACCGUUGGGCAGCCGCAGCAGCACGUACGGGGUGAUUUCGCACCCCACGAUCGGGAUCUCCGACGGCAGGUGCACCCGCACCACGCUCAGCAUCCUCCACUCCUGCUCCCCUCCCCUGCUCUCCUCUGCCCAGCCCAGGGGCGGAUCUAGAUGGUGUGCCGGGUGGGCACCGGCACACCCAAAAUUUGUGGACGCUGCGAGGACGGCGGAAGGCCAGGGCGACGUCGGGAGAGGAGGGGAGCGCCGCCGUCAAGGGGACCGGGAGAGCGAGACAGGGUUAGGGUUGGUUGCCUGAGGGUAUUUUUGGGCAUUUCGAAAAUCUAGAGUUGUGUCCAGCGCAUUUUUUUUCUAAACUAGUAUUGCGUAAGCGGGACGGAGUGGUAAUGUUUGUGCAAGACAAGAGAGAGCCGGAGAGGAUGACAUGUUUUUUUUAACGAUAAUAUUAAAAACUAGUCAAAUGUCCAUGGGACAAACUCAUAUGCGAUACUCACCGCAUUUGUAGUUAUAGAUUAAUACCUUUUCAUAGCAGUUUGCAGAGAUGGAACCAUGAAAGGCGUUGCAGACGUAUAAUUCACUCGCUAAAAAAUCCAUAUUGAGAAAAUAAUUAUGUACUUGAUAGACUCGGUCUCACGAAGUUCUGGUAAGAAGCCGGUUCGGAGGGACAAAGUUCCAGAAAGAUGGCCGCAAUGUCACGCACGACCAGGCGAAUUUGUGAUAGUUUUUUUGUUAUGAAAAAGCAAAGUAUAUGUGAUCGGCAUGCGACCUUGUGGAUUGGGGUUGAAAGUGUUGGACUGCAGUGUAUACCUUCAACCCACCACGUCUUGAUUUAAAGGCCAAAUCAACGUAGGAUUCGGACUCCUUAACUAAAUACGAUUAGGAUUCCCUAUCUAUGUCGGAUUUGGUCUCCUAUUCUGUGAUUGGCAAUUGGGAAUUUAGACAUUAAUCCAUAGCUUCUCCAACUCUUUAGUGAUUGAACGUAACGGUUGGUACAAGCUAGGCUGGGCGCGAUGGGCUGAGGCUGAGGCAAACCAACCAUGGACCUCGUACCGUUUAGAUUGAAAAAAGGACAUGUUUUUUUUUGUUUAUCGAUCAGGACGGACAGGCGCACGCACGAGGGUGAGUUGGAGGUUCAGAUCGGUUGGGCUUAGUGGAAGUUUUAAUGAAAAAGGCCUACGGACGUUCGCCAUCACCACCGAUUGUAAUAUAAUAGACAUUGUAGAUUAGUUAUGAUUUGGACCACCGGGCACCGGAACCCAAGCUGCUCAAUUUUGGCAAAAUUUGCAGAAAGCAAACUCAAACCCGAUGGCUCCUAUGUAGAUGGGAGUGAACUCAGAGUAUUCUCAUCGUGUUGCUACAAAGCUUUUCUUUGAUGAUGUUCCCUCCGUUGUGUUUCCCUUGCGUGCUCAAGGACACAAUGUUGUGAUUGAGGAAAUUGUUGAUGACCCUAGCUCUGCCAUCUUCCGUCCGUAAGUGAGGGCACAAGCAGCGCGUUGCUACUCCAGAAGUAACUUCAGGUCUGUGCCAUAGUUCAUGCUCUACCAUGUUUAGAGGAUUCAAGUCCUAGCUUGUUUCUGAUGUGCAGAAGAAACAGUCCAAGUGUCGAUGUUAUACAUUGUCAGAAUAUGAUUCGGGAUAGCACACGACCAAGGAUUACUACUACUCUUGAUGGCAACAGUCUACGUGUUUAUCAUUUGUUGGAACUCCAAGCACAAAGUGAUGUAACAAAGGGUGUUUUCCCCCACAAGUGUUUUACCCCCAACAAGCACCACAAUGGUUGUCAAUCACAAUGAUCACUAUACAGAAUCACUUAUUUCUGACGCGUUAAAAAACUUCUAGUCUGACGCAAAUGGGACGUGUCACUAAUCAAGUGUCAAAGAUGACUCGGGAACUUCUGACGUGUCAACAAGCGUCAGAAGUAGGAAACCCUAAUGACGCUUCUUGUCGAUUGUUAUUAGAGACAAGUAUCCUCAUGUCGGGUGAAGGCCAUGUUUGUUUGAGCUUCUGCUUCAGCUUUUGGUGGUUCUAGCUCUCUAAAAAGCACUGCUUCCGUUUACACAUGAAGCUGAGAAGCACGUCGUGAGGUGCUUCCCUCCAGAAGCUGCAGGAAGCACCUCCAGACGUGCUUCUCAGCUUCAUGUGUAAACGGGAGAAAUGCUUUUUAGAGGGCUAGAAGCAGCAAAAGCUGAAGAAAAAGAAAAAGCCCAAACAAACAGGGCCGAAGAUGAGUAAGAAGAUAGAGGGGCCUCACGGUGAUAUCUACUCGUGUAAGAUAGAGAACUCGGCGAAAGACAAGGGUUUAUACCGGUUUGACUUGCUCCUUUUCGUGAAAGCAAGCCUACGUCAUGUUGGUAAUCUAAUAUUUGUGUAUGAUAUUACAAGGUGUGUUCUGCCCAUCGAGGGCGCCUAGCCCGCUUUAUAUAGUCAAACAACUAGGGUUUCGGGUAGAGCCGGGUACAACUUUUACAUGGACUGUACCUUCCUAAACUAGUUAGGAUUCUUCCUUUACAAGAUAUCUACAACUAGUAUUUCCUAUUACCUGAACUAGGCUUCCUUCUUCAAUACGACAACUUCCUUGACCGAGUGAUAGGGGAUGUCUGGCUUGUGCGCUGAGUCGACUUUCUCUGUUCAGUCGUCUCUCAGCUACCCGGCUAGAAUAUCCUCGUCAUUAGCCCCGAGUACAAUGUGGAUAGGGGGGAGCUGAAUAAUGCCAUCGUCGUCAAUCUCGAAUCUUUCUCGUUUCAUGUGCUUUUCUUGAGUUGCUUCUUCUUGAUUUUAUUCCGACCUCAAAUCCACAAUGUACUUCUCUAUGACAGCUUGAGGUUCGAGCUCAUGGCUUCUUAUGCAUAAAGUUCAGCUAUAAGAGCAAACCAGCUUCUAUGUGGCAUGUGUUAGCAUUGCAGCGAUAUUAGCUCCUGUUUUGAUUUGUGUUUUUUCCUUAGCUGUAGCGUUGCUUUGAAUUAAUUAGCAACUACGUCGUGCAUGUAAAAAAAAGUGAGUUCCAACAAAUCUCUGACGUGCGCUAGAACAAGAGGUCAGUGAGCAUCAAAAGUAUACUGACGUGGCGACACAAGGAAGAGCUAGGAAAUUCCUCGUGAACAAAGUUGACGCUUCCACAAAGGAAAGAGUCACAUCAGCUAGAAUCUCCUUCGACGCUUACGAAGUAAGGAAGCGUCAGUAGAAAUGAAGAGUCAGAAGUGUGGAAGUUCUCCUACGCUUCUCCGAGGUAGGUGUCAGAAAUAUCUUAUUGACGCUGCCUCGUGGAUGCUACCUAUGACAGUCCUUAUAAGGAGCCGCAGAGAUAAGGAUUUGCGCUGACGCUUUUUAGUUUUGUGUCAGUGGGGAGCUUGCAAGAGUAAAGUCUAUAGUAGUGAGUGUAAGGCUAAACUUUAAAUAAACAAAUAAUAACUUUAAGUAAACUAAUGCAAAACAAUAAUUUAAACUAACUAGAAGAUGCAAUAACUAUAUAAUAAAUACUACUACUUAUUAUGCAACUAAAUAACCAAGAGAGAAUGUUUAAAUGGCUUUUUACAAGAUAUCUAAAAAAAAGCAAUUAAAUAAAUGCAAAAUAAUUGUAACAGAGGUGUUUCUUAUGAUAUUAAAGAGGACCAGGAUACUCUUUGCGGCAUGAAUAUAGCACAUAGGACAAGUUCAUUUACUUUGCAAUGUUUUUAUGAAGUGAAUGAUAAGCAUUCAUAUGGACAUCACGUCCUAAUAUUGAGAAUAUGCAAAAUAUCUCACUAAUGCUCCCUUGGUAAGUGACUCAUCAAACUAGAUUAUUGCUUUAGGUACUUUGACAUGAUGUUGAACUUUAAUGCAACUUUGAGCAAGCAAGACCACCAUUGUUGUCAUUUGGUAGCAUAAUGCGUAUUCAUUUAUCCCUAGCGGGUCAAAUCACUGAAAGGUGAAAAUCAUAGUGGUUCCCAAAAUUUUUGUCACUAUCCGGUUGCCACUACCAAUUGCUCUAUCUAAUACACACAUCCCCACACAUGCACAUGUAAACUAGUAUGAUUAGUACAAGUAAGCAAGAAGGGAUAGACAUAUGCAUCUAUCAAUACAUCAAAACACAAUCCAAACAUUGCAAACUCAUGACUCAUCUCAUAACAAAAGGUUCACCAAUAAAAAAUAUAACGAUGAUCAUAAUCAUGAUAGGAAACUCGUAUGAUUCUAUUACAACCCAUAGCCCAGCGAGGACUACUCCCUCAUCAUAUUGGUGAUGAUAGAGAAUAUGUUCAAGGAGAAGGAGAGGCGACCGAUGGUAUUUUCCCUUCUAAUCUUGGAUCAAUCUGAUGUUGUUUUUUUUCUUUCCGAGUCGUUGUGCUAUGCAAGCGCAAAGCACGGGGUAUUAAUAAAUGGUUUUAGGUCAAGACGAAUCUUCGGGUGAAAGAAUGCACUUGCGGGCGGCCACUCGGGAUAAAAAACAACCAUGGUGAAUUAUGAUAAUCUAGUUUUUUCGACUACUACCUCUGAUCCUAAAUUGUUGUCGUGGUUUUACUUCAAAUUUGUACUAAAACCACGACAAGAAUUAAGGAUCCGAGAGGUAGUUUUUACCUAUUUUUCAAUUCGGCUUACCUAUUAUUUUCUAAUUUUCUUUGUAUGUUUUGACAAAUUCAGCACACUUCAGCAACCCAAACUGAACAUUAGUCCCGUACAGGAUUCCAGAGUGCGUUGUACGCAUGUGUUAGUAUAUUCCUAAGCAAGCAAGAAAAAAAUAAAAAGAAGCAAAUAGUAGCAACUAUCGGUUGAUCCCGGCCCUGGGCCAGGACAAGAAGGGCGACAGCCCGGGCCCGCCCAAUCCAGGGGACCAGAUCAUAUGUGUAUACGCUAGUAGAGAUACAUGUCCAAAUAUUGAUUAGCAUAAAAGAAAGAGGAAAAAAGCUAGAGGCCCAGCAGAUUGCUCCGCUCCUGGCCAACCCAGGACGUAUCAACGUGCUCGAAAAUUCCCCUUGGCACCCGGUAUCCAGGCCUAUGUGUAUCUCAGCCGACCAAUUUUCCAUCCUACGGCUCCAUCCUGCAGCUCCUGUCGUCCGGCCCGUUUAAGUAUACAAUUUGCUAUUCUCCCGUACAGGCGGUAUUUGCACCGGUUGGCCUGACACAUCCUUUUUUAUAUUGCGUUUCCCAGGCUGGCUGGCCCAAGUCCCACCUCGCGCAUUGCUGGGUGAGCACAAGUCCUUUUCUCCCGCUGCAUACCGUGGCACAGGUCUGCCCUUGAGACAUCGCAUUAAAUUUCCAUCAGUCCCAUUUUUUUGGCCCAAGAUUUCUGGGCAGGCACAGGUCCACGCCAUUGGGGGGGCGGUGGCGCGGCUGGCGAGGCCGACGUCGCGGCUGUCGAGGGUGCCUGCCACGGGCGAUGAGUCACCGAGUCAGGCUUCGGUGCCCAGAGCUGAAAAGCGUGCCGCGGUAGACGAUGUUGGGCGCCUUAAUGCCGUGCUCGGACACGAUUCGGUCGGGGACGAAGCUGUCAGUUCCCGCGCAUAGCUCAUCAAGGCUGUACUCUGUGAUCAUCGGCACAGCACUGUCGUCUUCCCCAGUUUCCCCAUUCUCUAUUUCUCUACACAGGGAAAGCAAACAGCAAGGGGAAGAGCAUCCAUCCUGUAAAGCAACGAGCUGCCGGCGAUGGCCUUCUCCACGACCGCGGAGCAACGCAGCGCCGUCCCCGUGCCUUCGCUGGAUGCCCGCUCGCAGCUCCGUGAUGGACCGCUUCCGCACGAGCACCGCCCGCCCGAACGGGUCGUGCGCGUCGGCAAGCGCGAGGGCCGAGGGACACGUUGAGGUGGCCAAAGGCCGGGUCGCUAGGGAAGAACUCCGAGCUGCAGACCGGGGGCGCGGGGCAGGGACGGAUGUUCGGGCAUCGGCCGGACCUCCUCCGUUGGCAGCUUCCGCAGGCGAGGAAAACUUGAGGGGCAACGGCAGAUAUUUGGGAUUUGACGUGGGUAUUGGUGCUCCGAUCUUUCCAUCAGAUUGAUAACUCUCGAUUUGGGUUGAAGAUGACGUUUGACGAUCCGACUACGGUCUAAAAGACAGCGCCUUAGUAAUCAAUACACCAACUACAGAGAGUUAUUGAUCACGCGGGGCACGAUCAACCUGACCACGAAGGUUUUUAUUCCUGCAAGCAAUCGAAAAACAAGCAAGACCAAGAUAAAUAGUGGAUGCAAUCUGAAAUUGCGAAUAUACUAUAUCAAACCAAUGUCUCAAUGAGACGAUAAGUUGGGAUUUCGAAAGUGGUAAAGCAGGUGGUCUAGCCGACAUAGACGAUUACACGAAGUUGUAGCGAUGGCUAACUUUUAACUAAACAAAACCCAAGUCUCCAUAGGGAGGCUAGUGGGGUAUAUAAAAGAGGAGGGAGAGAGAUUUUCGCCCACCUUGAGUAAGGAGGCCGAAAUCCAAAUCUAUUUCUAACUUUUCUAACAAACUAUAACUCUUUAGGAAACAAAAAAACAGAUCCGUCAUCUUGUUUUGUCUGCCACGGCCAGCACGCGUCGAAUCUCCUUGUGGGGUCAAAUCUGUUGGAAAGGUCUUGUAAUUACCUUUCCAACAAGUACUUGUUUGCUUGAUUUGGACUCUGAAUGCGGUCUGGGUGAUUAAAACAAAUUCGGAUCUCCUGACAGCUCGGACCCGAAUCGGAUUCAACUUUAAUUCGUGAUAUCUUUCACUAGCAAGCUCCGAACCAUGUGCCGUUCGAUUUGUUGGAAAGUAGACUUGAUAGGCUUCACCUUGCAUCUCCCGUUGCAUGCUAUCGCACCUCAUCUUCACUUUGGAUUUGAAAAGCUCGACCAAAUAUCUACAUAAUAAAAUGAUACAAGAUAGUAGCUCUGCCUCUUCAUGCAUAUGGCAUUGAAAACAAAUAGUACUUGACUUCACCUGAUUAUAAAAUGUUAUCGAAUACUCUAGAACUGAGGGUGCCAAAGGUUGUAUCUAUGGUUAGCAUGUCCAUAUCAUCUUCCCUUUCUUGAAACAAAAGCCGUCCUCGGUGUCGUUUGUGCUGAAAAGAGACUGACAAAACAGACAAAGUGUGUGCAUGGGUAUAUGUACAUGUCAUCCAUCUUUAUACAUCUCCUUUCUUGCACAAUUAAUGUUUUAUAAAAAAAUCUCAUGAGAUAAGUAGUCAAACAAUCAUCAUGAAUUACAUUCCAGCAAGAAGAUUGACAAUAUGUUUUGCAUAUAUAAGUGAAACAAUAUCUUAUACUAGUAAAAAGCCCGUGCUUUGCUACGGAAGAAGACUUUCUUUUAAAAACAUGCUAUAGGUUAAUUUUCAAAUAGUCGGCUGACUUGGGCUUGCGGGGCUGCGGCUUGGGCUGAAAGGUGGAGAUGGGGUUGGUGGGCCUGAAGGGGGCUCGGGGUUGCUGGGUUGCUGUGGGAUCGAGGCAGCGGGGAGGUUGAAGGCACGGGAGCAAGGGGAGGCAGUGCCGGCGAGGUGGACGAUGGGAGCAGCACGCGAGGGUGCUGGGCUGCCACGGUGACUGGAGCUUGGCGACAACGUUGGCGGAUUGCAGCAGCGAGGGAGAGGAGAAGAGGGCGCAACGAGUAAUGAAGGCAGGAGCGCCAGAGAGAGGAGGCGGCUAGACAGAGGAGAUCGGGAGGGAGAAAGGAGCUCGAGGGGAAAGAUGAAGGAGCAUAGGGGAUAUCGGGGAGGACCGGCUGCCUGGUUGGGUGGACGGGCAGGACAAGAAAAGGGGACGAGAGCGAGAGGGAUAGGGUUCGAGGAAGCCCGCAGAGGUUAGGGCUCGGGGGUCAGACGGAUGUUUUUCGGGACUGGGGAUAUGCAGUGGCAUAUUGAGCGUAAUUUUAAUGGAGUGACGUACCGCGACACCUGUACCAUCACCACCAACUCCAAUUUAAUAUAUUUGUAUAGAUUUAGUUUGCACCGCUCACCAUUAUACCAUCCCAACACUGGAGAAUAAUAAUUAAUGGUACCCAAAUUAGUUACUACAAGAUGCUGAAAUUUAGAGCAAGUCAAAGCAGUAAUAUUCAAACAAUCGUGUAAACAACUAUUUGGCAAAUAAUCAACACCAAUAUUGGAGAUCAUAUCAAAAUAGUUAAGCAUAUGCAAGAAUUUAUUUUCUCCCAAGAUAGUAAAAUUAUCACAAGUAAUACAAAUUUCAUGUACCAAAAAGUUAUUAUUCACAUCAUGUUCUCCAAUUAGUUGAAUAGUGGAUCCAUGAACAUUAGGAAAAGAUUUUGAAAUUGUUAACUUGGACACUUUUUCCAUUGCAUAUGAUAAAUACAUAUGUGUAUCAAGUGUAAUAUAACACAAAGAAUUAAUAGGUGGAUCCUUAUGAAUCACUCCAUGUCUAAUUAACUCGACACAACCUAAGCCAAAUUUAUCUAUCUCACAUGUUUCUCCCAAAGCAUUAGUUCUGUCCUGACAUGAUUCAUGCUCAUCAAUAUCAAAAUUAAUAUGUGCACUAAAAUCAUUAGAAAAAUUAAUUUCAGCACUAGGUGUACUCAAAUCAGCAUGUAAAUCAACAAUUUCACAUGGUGCAGAAAAUUCACCGAGUAUCUCAUUUAUUUCAUCACAUGUCAUAUUUAGUUCAGGAACACAAUCAUCUUUACCAUUACCUUGUGGUCUCGACUCAUUUGUAGUAGACCUUCACUGUAAUUUCCUCUCAACUUCACGAGCAAGAUUAAGCAAACACAAAAAAGAGUCGUAUUUUCCAUAUUCAAUUAUGUAAGAAAUAUCAAAGUUAAGCCCACAAUAAAACCUAUCCAUUUUUGUUUGUUCGGUUUCAUCUAAACCAGAUCGCAAGGUUAGAAUUUGGAACUCCUGAUAGUAAUCAUCAACAGUUUUAUCAUCUUGUUUCAAACGUCGUACUUUUGCACGCAAGUUACAAGCAUAACUAAAAGGGACAUAUUUUUCUCUCAUGAUUUUCUUCAUAUCAACCCAAGUGUGAGGAAUUUUCUUUUCUCUAACUAUCUCACUCCACCAAGAUAAAGCAGCAAAAGUAAAUUUACUACUAGCAAUUUGGAACUUGCGACUAUCAAGUACAUGGAAGCAUGUGAAUUGUUCAGUUAAAGCUAUCUCCCAAUCUAUAUACGUUUCAGCAUCAUUUUCCCCCUUAAAGAAAGGUACACACAAUUUAAUUGUAUUGGAAGGAUUGUUUCGUACCGUUGCCGUCGCAUUGUCAACAAAAGACGUGGAGGAUGGCCAUGGUGAAAAGCACUCAUCGCGGUCACGGGAUUGCAUCGGUCUAGUUCCCAUGCUUCGUGUAAGUCCUGUCAUUGUUAGUAGAAAACAAGAAACAAAUCACAGUAAUAUGUUCCUAUCAACUAAUAGGAUGUGGCUACAAGUCGUUCAACUCUCAAGCUAAAAAUCAAGUUCUUACAAGUUCUUACCAUGCAACAAGAAGGUGAUGGCCAGCGGCUUGACCAAGCCCCUCCGAGGAUUAAAUGUAUCAAUGCCUCGGUAACAAACCAACCUAGGUGUAGAAUCUGUGUAGCUUGGAAGCUUUUGUGAGUAGCAAGGAAUAGCAAAUAAUCAAACAGCAAUGCAAAGUUGAAAAUAUGCUAAAUAAUGCUAGUCCUAACUGCUGGAGUCGAUAAUAACGAAUUACAGAAAUAAUCUAAGCCUAGAUAGUGAAGAAGGUAGGAUAGAAAGAUCAAAAUAAAGGUAAAACAACUAAAUCUCUAGGAUUUUUCUUUUCUUUUAUUUAUUUAUUUAUUUAUUUUUGUGGCCUUCUGUUUGGCUUCUUAUUCUUUUCUUCUUUUUUUAUUUUUUUAAUCCCAGAAACUCAUGCAAAAGAAGUAAAGACCGGAAAACUGCACGUCGGUCUGUCGAAGAACAGCAAAGGGUGCUGUAAGAAAAUGUCAGAAAAAUAUGGAAAAAUAUAGGUUAGGAGCGUAUCGAAACAAGCUUUCCAGGAAGUGCAAGAUCACUCAAAUCGGAGGCCGGACGAUGGAGAUAACGUAAAAACACCGGCCUGCAGCGAUGCCGGAAACCGGAUGCAGAAACUUGGAAGCUCUGAAAGUCCACCUUACAAACCGAGUUUGAGGGUCAAGGAGUCAGUGCGAUGCCCUGGAUAUUUUCUCGUGCGCUUCGUCAUGAGCUUUCCAGAAAGUACUAGAAGGUCCAAAUCUGAGUUGGUGACCGUUUUACUGAACACGGGUCAAACCCACUCGAAACUAUAAUUCUCCUGAACGUGGAUCUGAAACUGAUUCUUUUUCUCUCUCUUUUUUUUCAUUUUUUUUCCUUUUUUUUCCUUCCUUUUCUUUGCUUUUUUUUCACAACUUUCCGAACAACUUGAUCUCUAAACAAAAUUCGAUCUAUUAUGAAACACUUUCCAAAAGCACUCUCGAUUGGACUCGGACUCGAACCCGGAGAAGGACUCGGUGUAUGACUCGAUGGAAGAUUAUGGCGUGGCGGUGGUGUGGCAGGGAGUUUGGCGGCAGAAAAUUGAGGAAGGAAACCUGCGUCACACGAAGAACAAGAAAACCAAAAGCAAGUUCGAUCUAGUAGAAAAAGUCUGAAAAACGAUCCAAUCUAAUCCAGCAACUCGACACGAUUAAUGCAGCAAAGGUUCAACAAUGCAAAUACUAAUGUGAAAAUUGCAAGGCUCAGAUUGGUUUUUGGGACGAAGGUAAGUAAUCUCUACUUUUUUAUUGUCUUUUUCUGGACUAUAGGUAAAACAUAUCUAAACUAUGGAAAAAUACCACGUGAUGUGGGUCGGGGUGGCCCGAUAUUUCGAUGAGAUUGAUAACUCUCGAUUUGGGUAGGAGGUGACGUUGACGAUCCGACUACGGCCUUGAAAGCAGCGUCUUAGCAAUCGAUACACCAACUCCAGAGGGUUAUUGAUCACGCGGGGGCACGAUCAACCUGACCACAAAGGUCUUUGUUCCUACAAGCAAACGAAGAACAAGCAAGAACAAGAUAAAUAUCGGAUGCAAUCUGAAAUUGCGAAUAUACUAUAUCAAACCAAUGUCUCAACGAGACGAUAAGUUGGGGUUCCGAAAGCGGUAAAGCAGGUGGUCUAGCCGACACACGCGAUUACACGAAGUUGUAGCGAUGGCUAACUUUUAACUAAACAAACCCAAGUCUUCAUAGGGGGGCUAGUGGGGUAUAUAAAGGAGGAGGGAGAGAGAUUUUCGUCCACCUUGAGUAAGGAGGCCGAAAUCCAACUGUAUCUCUAACUUUCCUAACAAACUACAACUCUUUAGGAAACGGAAAAACAGAUCCGUCAGCUUGUUUUGUCCGCCACGGCCAGCACGCGUCGAAUCUCUUGUGGGGCCAGAUCUUUUGGAAAGUUCUUGUAAUUACCUUUCCAACAAGUACUUGUUUGCUUGAUUUGAACUCCGAAUGCGGCCUGGGUUAUUAAAACAAAUUCGGGUCUCCUGACAGCUCGGACCCGAAUCGGAUUCAACUUUAAUUCGUGAUAUCUUUCUCUAGCAAGGUCCGAAUCAUGUGCUGUUCGAUUUGUUGGAAAGUAGACUUGAUAGGCUUCACCUUGCAUCUCCCGUUGCAUGCUAUCGCACCUCAUCUUCACUUUGGACUGGAAAAGCUCGAUCAAAUACUUACAUAAUAAAAUGAUACAAGAUAGUAGCUUUGCCUCUUCAUGCAUAUGACAUUGGAAACAAAUAGUACUUGACUUCACCUGAUUAUAAAUAUUAUCGAAUACUCUAGAAUUGAGGGUGCCAAAGGUCGUAUCCAUGGUUAGCAUGUACAUACCAGGCUUGCAGUACGAUGCCCGGAGCUGGGGGAGAUGGCGCUGCACAUGUCGUAUCUGAAGGAGGCGGCGAUUGAGGUGAAGAAGACGGUGGGGGAUGAGACGGUGACAGAUGGGGAAGAGAGGUAGAUGAGGGCGAUGAAGGGAAUAUGCCCUAGAGGCAAUAAUAUUGUAUUAUUAUAUUCCCAAGUUUGUAAUUGAUGUUUAUAUUUCUAUGCUAUAAUUGCAAUGGUUCUUGAACGUGAGAUUCGGAGGAAAACUCAUUUGCAUGUGUGGAAACAUAAACCCUAAUUUAAAGGUCCCUAGUCACGCCUCUUUGACUAGCUUAUAUAUAAUUGAUGAUUCUGUUUUCCUGAUCAUGAGCAUACGAUGCUGGUUAUAUAUGAGAGCACAUUGUUGGUUGAACAAUGGUGUUGGAUUGACCCAACUAAUGAUAUACCGAGAGAUCACAUCGAUUACUUGUUAUCGGUAUUAUUGUUAUUGUUGUAAUUAUCAUUAUCCUUAGACCAUGAAAAUAUCGUAUGAUAUUUAUAUCGGAAGGAUAAUUUGGGUGUUACUUAUUGUUUCCCGUAAUAGGGUUAUCAUGACGGUGAUUUCCGGGUACUCCGGAAAGUACGAAUUGAUUCGAUAGUUCAAGAUUGGGAUUUGCUCCUCUAUCGGUGGAGAGAUACACUAGGGCCCACUCGGUACGAAGAUAUCUAUCACCGUCUGGCCAGACACAAGAAUGAUAUGAUCAUUGAGAUAUCGGAGUACGGAAUGAGUUAAAAGUACAAAACCGGUAACGGGGAUAGCUAGGUACAAGUGGAACAAGGGUUGGUUCACGGGCGUACCGGAAGUCUCACCCCGGGUUUUGUAAACGUAUCGUGAAGCAAAGGGAAAUGGUUUUUAGUAACAAAUGGUUCACUUGAAAGUCUUCGUGUAUGUGUAGUAAUUAUUGAGAGUGUCCAGGCUCUUUAAAUAAUUAUUGACUGGGUCAUAGCUACACAUUUCCCAACCUAGGCGGUCAGACGCUUAACGACGAAUGGUUAUUUGAAGGUCUAAAGUUUGGAAUUUGGUCAAGAGUUGAAUACUGAAGUUGUUCAGAAUGACGAGACAUAUUUUAUGGAGGUCCUAAAUGUGAUUUAGGAGUUACAGAAAUAUUCGGAGUAAUCAUGAGUGCUUCCGGAAGGUUUUAGAAGCCUCUAGAAGGAUCCGAUGGAAAUUCCGGAAGGUCAAAUGGCAAAAGGUCAAAAGUCAAAGGUGGGUCAAACCCUGGUCAAAGGUUGACCAUGGGGGCCAGCCAUCUUGGUUUGGAGAAGGGGUUAUAAGACUCCUAUUAGGAGUUCAUAUCUAUUCCUAUUAGAGGUAGGCGUGCUACUCUUUUUGGAGGAGGACUCUUUUCGUCCUUUGGCCGGACGCCCUCCUAUAUAAGGAGGGGAGGGGUGGCCGGUUAUAGGGGCACUCUCGCUAGUUGUCCUUUGCCCGUCAAGUUCGAGCUCUCUCAUCUAAAGUUUAGACGUCUAAUUAGUAAAUCGUCUACUUUCCGAUCUAGUUUCUUCCAGCGGUUCUUCGUACUGGACGUGAAAGUGCUGCUGAACUAUUCCUCCGGGACGUGUGGAUACGUGUGGAGAGAUCGCCCACUUCGAUCUUGCAGGCGGAUCGCUGUUCGUCUACUUCAAGCUUUCAGGCGCAGCAGAUCGUGCGAGGAAUAUUCUCACGGCUGGGCGGUAUAACCUAACUGCGGGAAUCUGCUACAGGCUUCAACGACAAUCUAUUUCCGCUAUGGUUUUUUGGUAGAUGAUCAAUCUAUCGCAUCCGCAUAGUGAUCUUGAUUGGUUCGUUCGUAGGAAAAUUUUAAUUUUCUGCCUACGUUCCCUUUCAGGCGAAUGGAGGCGGUGGAGGGACCCGAGACGUGGGGUGGGCGGCCUGCUGUGCGUAUUUUAUUUAUUUUCUUUACUACUACUACUACUUAAGCCACAGUUAUGUCCGUGGUUUACCGUAAGUCCUCCCACCCCCCACAGAAAAAAAAGUCCUGAAAAAAUCCGGUCCCCCCACCCCUUCUGAGGAAACAUUCGCCCAGAAGGAAAUAUUCAAUCAACCAUCAAUUGAUUGAGUUCAAAAGAUGACCCAACGCAUUAGGCAACUCUUGGAGAGAUUUCAGGAGAGUAUGGAAAGAUUGUUAGGAGUUGGCCGAGUUGUGGGAGUGAUUUCAGGAAAGGACAUCUUGGUUAGUUGCACGUAUAGCGUGAGUUUAGGGGCUAACGGUCUGAGAUUGGCUGUUAUUUAUGGCAUGCUUUGUAAUCUUGUUUUUGGAAACAGAAAGAGGAAUAGGAAAGGAGAAAAUCUCGGGCUGUGAGAGGCAGCCUCGAGGCCCAAACCUUGCCUUCCUUAUGUUCGUGGUGUUGCCAAGAAAAGAGAUAUCGUGAGAGAGGGAGCUGCAGCGACAGAGAAGAAGAACUGGAGUUGCAGAUUCCUGCCGCGGCAGGAAAUAUUCUGCCGCGGAAGAAAAUCUGCAGGCUGGAGCUGCGUGAGGUAGACGGGGAAGAAGAAGGGGAGCAGCAGCGGCUAGCUGCUCCAACAUAGCCUUAUCAGUUGCCGGGUAUUAACUGGACAAUUCCUAAUCAUGCUUCAUGAAACGGUGCUAAAACAUUGUCCUGUGUCGCAAGUCCCAACAAUCCUAAUGGAUUUCAUUCUGCCGAGUCAUUAAAGGUCUGUGCUUGUUACUCCUAAUUCUGAUCAUAGUUAUUGUAACGUGCUUCUAUCUAGAAGCCGAUGUACACCUAUCAUGUUUGUCAGUUAUAACUUUGUAUGCUUUAAGAAGAUCUAUUUUGUACUUUGGGCUAGGUAUUUUCUACUUCGUAUGCUUCAAGGAAGGUAACUGACUGAGAUGAGAUGCAUAGUUGUUGCCAGAGAGAAGGGACGUUAGCACGUGGCAAACGUGGUUAGCAAUAAAAAUGCAAUCAGAGAGAAGGGAAGUUGGAGAAUGAAACAAAUAUUUAUUGUGAUAGGUUAAAAGUUAUACACAAUUAGUGUACAUAUUUAUUUUUAUUUAUUUAUUAUUUUUCGUUGCAACGCACGGGUACUUUGGCUAGUAUAUUUAUUUGGAGAACAUCCGUAUUUUAUUUGGUGGGCGAUGGAACAAGACAGACAUGUACCAUGCCUUCUUGGUUUUGAGUUGGUCCAGAAACAUCUCACAAAUGGUCCAACAACCCAACACAAAUGACCUAGUAUUACUCACUGUUCUAUACCAAUAGUGGGCCAAAAAGCGGAAAUUCCAUUUGGGUCCUGGGACCCCCUCCCUAUCUCCAUCAUUCCGCCGAUGUUUGAUGUUUGCUUUUAGACCCUGUUUGUUUGGGCCCUGAUGGUCGCCCUUUGCGUAUUUGUGAAAUCAUAGGUGAUGUGUAACAUUGGUAAGUAUUUUAGAUGAAACAUUGAUGUGGAUACUUUGGCUAAUAUGGAUUGACGAAGAUGUAACUUCGACAAUGUCCAUAUUGAUGGACUUGUAUCAAGGAAAGAGGAGUGUGUGUUGGCGAACUCGUCGGCUAACAAGGACACAGGGGACACGAUUUACCCAGGUUCAGAGCCCUCGAUGAGGUAAUACCCCUACGUCCUGCUUGUCGGAUCUGUAUUGAUGAGUCGAUUACAAUAGGGUGCCGCAGAGUCUAGACGCACCGAGUCGUCGAGUGCGUCCAGGCGACUUGUAUCUAAGCUCGGGGGGUGUCCUCUUGGCUCCCCCUCCUGGUCCUUUAUAUAUGCAGGAACUCACAUCCGAGGUAGAGUCCAAGUAGGUUACAAUGAAAAGACAUACUCUAAUUAUUCUUCCUUAUCUUGAGUCGCAAGAUUUGGCAUGUAAACUCCUGGAGUCGAAGUAGGCUUCCUUGUGGGCCCCUAGCUGGGCUGUAUCGGGUAUACUCGAGUCGAGUACGUGGUUAGUCAUAACCACGUCAUGGAUACUUAUGUGAUGACAUGUAUCUUGUUUGGACUUAGUGGUUUGCUAUUGGUGUGUUGAUCCAUUAGUUUCUUAUGUAAAAACAUGGCGUGAGUUGUGUUGAAACUUACCUUGAGUGAAGUCGUGGACUUGUGCUCGUACUGGUUAUUUGUGUGUUCACUUUCAGGUGUUGCCGGAGCUAGAAGAACAUGGUCGGUGAUGGGAUCGAGGGACGAAGCUUGGGAGAAGCUGAGGUCAAGGGAUCAAAGUCAUGCGAGACGUUCAUGUGAAGGAACAAUGGAAGUGAAAUAUACGAUGAUUCGGGAGGGCACCGGUUUGUCGUAUGUUGUUUAUACCGGAGAUGUAUGGUAUUGUAGAUAUUUGACACGUGAUGGUCGAGUUUUGAAGACAUCACAAGAAGAGUCAAGGAGUCCAAACAAGACCAGAUGUUCCCUAUUGUUAUCGGGAACGAGACUAAAUGUUCGGCCUUAAUGAGAUGGACCUUGAUUCCUCUCCGGCCAGGAAAAGAUGCGGCUCCUCUUUGUUUUGUUCUACUACCUUCAUCCUCGGGUGAAGCCGGUUGGCUCACCAAACAAGAGGCCUACUGUUAAAUCAUUGGUAACCAUGCCUAACGGUCGGUCCUCUAAGCUAUCGGCCAAGGCAAGUGAGAGCUGUUCAAGAGUUGGGGGCAUAUCUUUAGCUCGAGUAGCAUUCGCUCCCAAAAUGUGUGGCAUCGACGUGAAGACAUGUAGGUCCAGCCGUGGCUGGAUGAGAGCUGUUUAAAGACUAAACAAUAGUGUCAUGAAUAUGGCGUCCGAUGGAAAAGUGGUCCAUAUGGAAGUUGUGCGCGUCGUGACGCUGUGUGAAUGCUUUCUUUUGGCCUACGGGCUCCUACCUCCACAUCGCGUGCUUCGUGACGCUGUGUGAAUGCUUUCUUGGAAUAAAUCCCCAUAUGGGUCUUUGGAAGAGAAUGUUCACCAUCAAGCGCCAAGGCAAGGAUGCGAUUGGAUGGGUGAAUAUUCAAACUCAUGCGGAUGCCAAAUUCUUCAACCUCCGAGAGAGGGCAUCAUCUUCUCGAUGGAAAUCGAGGUGGUUCUUUGUCAUGGAUGUGCCGGCCGAAGGACGCGACUUCAGUCUUCCCGAAUUCUCCGUGACCACGUCGGUGAAGAAGACGAUGGCCUGGAGUCAUAAAUUGGGAGGAACAGAGGGUGAAGAAGCCGAGACUCUAUUGGCCCGAGUUCUGUCUCUCAUGGAGACUCCUCAGUUGAAGGUGACUAGAAUUCACCUCAUUGCCGCUUUUAUCCGGAGAAGAAUUCAGCCUCUGCAGGCUCGUGCUCAUCCCAUGUGGGCAUAUCGGGGGGGUUCAUGACUCGACCCGAUUUAGUACCGAGGAAUUUCGUUCGACUGAAGUGUGUCGACGAGUUCGGCGACUUACUAACUUGGACGAGUCGGAGCCCUGCGAGAUUGACCCUCCAGUGGCUCCCUAUGGGCCUGACAGGUCCCUAGAAAAGAUGACCACCGAAGCGUCUGACAAGCCCUGCUGUUUUUUGGCAUGAAUUAUUUCUGAUCAUGGUUUUGAUUUUAGGGACCCGAUAAUGAUCUAAGCGGCGCUUCCCCACCGGCAAAGAAGCGCGGCAGAGGAAAAUGACUUGUCGGUACAGACCCAAAUGAUAAGCUUGAGGGACCCGAACGUCGGGCCGUCAGUGUCUGUACCUGCGCUCAAGAGAACCAAGUCCGACGGGCCAAUCGCGACUCUCGCUUUGGUCUUUUUGCAUGACUCAACCGUGCCAGGUGAAUCUUUUAGCCAUCUUACUUCAGUAUCCUAGAGAUUUUGACUGAACCUCUAAAAACUUCUUGAUUAGCCAUACUAGUGGCUCAGUUGAGAGCAAAAAGGCUCCCUGGACUCAAUCGACUGGUCAGGACUUGAAAGGGUCGGACCAGCCGACUAAACAAAAGACAGCCCAUACCAAGGAGGCUUCGGCGGCUAAUCCGAGCAGAGGAAGUCGACCAGAUGAGUCGAGCGUUCCUCAGGCGACGGUUCCUGCGUCGAGUCGACACGUGAGCAAAUUUGUCAUUUGCUAUUACCUGCCUCCCGGUGGGAGUGACACUCAAGAAAUGACUUGAGAUUGCUUUUUUGUUUGUAGCCAAUCAUCCGCUCCAUGGCAACUCUUAUUGAAGAGUUUGAGGAGACGAAAGCAGAUCGGGAGCGACUUCGAGAAGAGCUGAGUCAAUGAAGCGAUCCUCCCCCUUACAAGGGUUCGAUCUCUGUGCUUACCGUGCUAGUCCCUGGAUCGACUCACUAGCACACACAGUUUCAUGAUGAAAUAUACAGAAACAAAGGUCAAAAGUACUUUAUUACAUCGCAUCAUUCAGAAUUUAAAUAGUACUUACAACCUCGCAUGACCUCUUGGCCAGCAUAAAACAAAUACUGUUUCAUCAUCAUAAAACAAUGUUUCAAAACUGCAGCGGAAAAGGGUAGAACAAAAGGGCCUCAACUACUCCAAGGUGAGAGCAUGUUGGAAUGUAAGCACAUGACCCAUGACAAAACGACGAACCUCACUCAUCGUCGGAUCCACCUGCAUUGUAAUUGCAGCCACUACGUGGUCAAUACAUUUGAAUGUAUUGGCAAGUUCACCAGAGUUAUAAAGGACCUACCAAGUAUAUGCAUAAUUUGGCUAGGUGGAGUUUGGCUGUUUGCAUAAAAGCAUCAUAGUUCAAUCCUAUCAUUUUUAAACAAUUAGUUUUGAAUUCUAUUGGACACGGGAUAGAAACACCCAUGCUCCUAUUAACCUAGGCACAUUGAGUAGAAACAUCAAUGCUCCUACCCAGUUCAAACCAUUCUUUUUAUUAGGAAAUUGGAAUGAGUGAGACCUUUCUUACAGCCCCAAUAUCUAGUUGCUCAUAAUUGUCCGUAACCGGGGACACGGCUAAGUACUUAGUUUGACACUCUCGAGAGGUUGUACACAUUCCCCACAAGAAAUCGACGUGUUAAUCCCUUGCUGUCCUCAGGGUAGAGUAGCAACGGCAUCGACUACAGGAUUUUUCAGAACAUAAUCUCCCAGACCACCUGAUGGACGCGCCCCCACCUACACUGCUACAUACCGAUGUCACCUCGGAUCCGGGUUCAUAUUUCUUACAUCCAUCCUGGCAGAGCCCAUAAUACCAUGUGGUUGUACUGGAAUCUACUAAACAAGAAACUAGUCCAGUCUCUGGUUACCCCGGGUGGCAUUCCUCAGUUGCAACGCAGGCGCUCCCAUAGAAAUGGUGAGACGACUCAUAGAAAUGGACCCAUAGAAAUGGACCUGACGUCGCAUACAUCUCCACUUCCUCAAAGCAGCCCACCCAGGACGGUUUAUUGAAUUACUUGUUUUGCCGUACACUAGGAAAACCAUAUUGUAAUUCAAUAGUAUCACAUUGUAAUAAUACCACCCUCGUAUAUUAUCAUAUCCUAGCAUUUUACUACCACGAUGGCAAUUGGUGGUGGGAACAUGGCAAAGGUAUUCUACACUAUUAGGAGAAUCAUAGCAUAGCAUAGAUACAAUAAUAAUCCUAACAAUGCAACUAAUAAAAUCUAGUGCAUAAUAAAGUAAUACGUGAAUGAUCAAAGUGAACUUGCCUUGAUAGUAGUUGGUAUUCAAACACUCUUCGCAAUCACACAGUUCGUUCUCCAAGAAAACUAAUCAAAUACAAACAUUGCAUACAUAAGCACACAAUACAAUCAAGAGUAAAAAAGUAUGCCAUGAUGCAAUGUAAAACAUGUGACAUGAGCUUGGUUUAUUUUAUUUGAGUGAUCUACUGAUCCUAAGCAUAAGUAAUUAAAACAAAUGCAUUAGCGUUUUAAAUAGAAAGGCAAAGGCUAGGGUUUAAACCCUGAAAUAAGGUUUUAUUUGCGUCUGCAAAGAAAUUUAAUUCAAAAUAUUUAUUUCUCUGUCUUUAUGGACAGAGGAUAAUAAAAUAAAAUUUUGGGCACUGGUUUCAUUCAAAAAGGACUUCUAAAUAAUUAGUUAUGAUUUAAAUAGUAUUAUACCUUAUUCUGUAAUUUGAAUGUGAUUCAAAUUUUCAAAUUUAAAAAUGGACAGUGCCAAAAGAUUCUACACUUCCUAAGGAUUUCAAAAAGGUGUGGAUCAUCAAAUUUGGCCAAACAGAUUAAAAGAUAUGAUCAUUUGAAGUUAGAGGGGCUUUUCUGCAAAAGUGCCAUUUCUAAUUAUUCCGGGAAUUAAAAUUAGAUUUUCGUUUUAUAAAAUAGGUGCCACAUGUCACGUUCUCAUUGGUGCGUACCGGUUCGGUUAAAAAUAAACACGGGAUCUAAUCCUAGCCCUCGGAUCUGGAUCGGACGGACGGGGCGGGCUAGGGUUUACCUCCGUGGCGGCGGCGGUCGCCGGAGACGAGGGAGACGGCGGCGCGGGCACGGGCGGGCGGCUCCUCCGGUGAAGUUGACGGCGCGGGGAGGUGCUGGGUCGACACGGCGCGGUACGGCGAAGUCGGGGGCGAGGUCGGCGCUCCUCGGGGUCGUCGGGGUGCUCGCCUAGGAUGGCGCGGAGACAGCGGCGAGCGGCGGACGGCUCCGGAUCUUCGGCUUGACGACGGCGAGGCGCUGCGGCGCGCAAAAAGGAGAAACGGACGCAUCAAAAGAUGCGCAAGGACGAAGGAAAGCGAACGGCUAGAAAUGGGCAGAGUUUUGACCUUAGGGUUCACCGGCGGCGACCAAAACGUGCGGCGGCGAGCGACGAGCUCCGGCGAGCGAUUCCGGCGGAGUGGGCGCGUGAGAGAGAGGGGAACGAAGGGGGAAGAAGAGAGGGGGGCGGGGGGCAGAGCUUUAUGUUGACGCGCUCGGGGCUGCGAAAUAUGGACGGAGCGCAGAGAUCUCGGCGGAGACGGCACGCGGUGGCGAAGAAGGAAAGCGGCGGUGGACGCGGGCGCUUUCCAUCGGGAACGAAGACCCUGACGCGUGGGUCCCACGCGUCAGUGGCAGCGGGCACGCGCGCGUGCGGCGGGGCCAGUCUGGCUCGGUCGGGCGCGGUCGGAGGGGGCUGGUCCGGCCCAUUUUGGCGGGGCCGGUCCGGUUUUCUCUUUAUUUUUCUUUUAGCCCUUUUGUUUUUUCUGUUUUUCCUAUUUCUUUGAUAUCUUUUGAUUUUUACUCCAAAUUGGUCCAAAUAAAUUCUAGAAAAUUUCUAAAAUCAUGUUCUAUCAUGAUUCAACUUUUGGGAGUAAUUUCCCUUCAAAAUAAAAUACCUAAAAAUACAUUUUCCCUAUAAAUGCCUUUAGGGCUAUAUAACUAUUUAAAUAAAAUAGUUUUUCAACUCCAAAUAAUUGUCCAAAAAUUAUGGAAUAGCUCAUUUAUGCAAUAAACCCCUUUUAUAAAUAAACCUUAUUGGUUUAAAGAUUCAAAGCUCAAAUGGGUGUAAACCCUAGGGUUUAAAUUGAAAUAAAAACUUUUAAAGCCUUUUGAGAUUCAAAUUUGAAUUCAAACGUGCAAUUGUGGCAUGAUGCUUAUGAAUGCAAUGCAUAUGAAAGGAUUUGAAAUUUUGGGAUGUUACAGUCAAUGUCGCCAAGAGCUGCAGGACGUGGCCGCCGAAAAGAGUCGUCUUCAGGAACGUAUAGACUCCCGUAUUUCCGCAGAGAAAGAGCGGGAGAAGGUUUGGAUCGAGCGACUCGAAAGUGCUACUCACUCAGUUGCUGGUGAGCGCUUGAACCUGUUAUUCGAGUGGCUUUUCCUUCUCGUGGAAAAUUUUGACCGUUUCUCUGUCCUUUUGCAGGAGUCCUUGAUGCUUCCGCAUAGGUCCAAUUCAAAGAGAGAAGCCGAAGCUUCAAUGAUGUUUUAGAAAAUGUUGAAGUCAUCAAUGAUGAAGCCAAGGGCAAGCUCCGGCAAGCGACAAAGAUUCUGACCACCGUAAUCAGGAAGAUGACUCCUGAUGGGUCAGUGCCGGAGUCGCUGAAUGGGCUUAUUGAAUUUUUUGCAGCGAGUCAUGACCCGGUAGGGGAGUACUACUGAUGCUGAGCUAUUCUUUACGCUUGCUCUUGCGCAUGGCAUUGAGGAAGACGCUCUCCAUCGAGUAACCUCUCGAUCGAGAGCAGGUGACUCGGUCAACCUAGGGCCCCUUAUGGGAAAGGGCAAAGAGCUGGCUGAGAUCUCGUUGCGGCAGCCACGUAGAUCAAUUGAGGAGAUGAACCUAGCUUCAUCCAGCGGCCCAGAGGUGGGUGAUCUUUCACUAGAUAUAUUUGAUUCUCUUUCUCCUUUGUGAAUCUUCUUCUUCUGUUCUUAUACCUUUGUAAAGAACUGCUCUAGCUGAGCCCUUUUUGGAAAGAAAUCAAAAAAUCUUUAUUUCCAUCCCGAAAGGGGUUCUUCAGGAUAAAUGCUGAGGUAACUUGUGUCUUUUCCGCGCAGAGGGAAAAAGGACCAUCGAGUCACUCGAUUCCAGGUGCAGCGGCAACCUCUCGCAACGAUGCUCCAGCCGAUCCUAGCGGAAAAGGUCAGGCUGGGUCGGCUUUGUGCCCAGAGCAGUUACGAGAAAUUGAGGCUCGAUUCACUAAAUUGAAGCGUGACACGCUGGGUGACGCUCAGAGUAGCAAAUCUAGCCUGAAAGCUGCGACCAACCGGGAAGAGUUUGUCUUUGGAGAGCUUCGCAGCCUGAGCAGCCAAAUCCAAGGUAAGGAUCGCAAGACUUUGCCUUUCGAGUCGGUCUGCAAAGUGAUCUUACCGUCUUCUGUGCAGUUGUUCGCUUUGACCCUGACGAUGAAAAGGCCAAAGUGAAUACCGCCAUUCAAGCUCGCAGAGUGCAUGAUCCAUCAUCCUUUUCGCUGGAUCAGUCAAGGAGCUACGACUUGAUGCUGUUGAUCGAGCGGAUCAAGCAGGUCAAAAGGUACUUGACCUCCUGCCGUGACAUGCUAGCUUCGACACAUCUGGCCUUAUGGCCACAGGAGAAGGUGCCUCGUAAACCGGGCAGCCUGAUGGUGAAGUUUCACGACGAGGAGAAGAUGAAGGAGCUGGUUCGACUCUAGCUGGUGAGGGGUGCCCAGAUUGCCCUCGCAUUUGUGCGAGUCAACUGCCCAGAGUUGGAUUUCUGGCAAAUUGCUACAUUGCCAGUUACUCUCACCCAGGGUAUAAAGUCAUUCCUGGAGGCUGGGCAGGCGGCGGCGCUGUAGAUGAUCCAGCAAUGGGAGGCAGCUGAGGAGGAGACCCUGCCUGUCGUAGGUAGUCAUGUAGUUUUUUUCCUCUCUUUUUUUGUAACGACUAGUCUACCGGGUGCGCGAUCAGCGCUCCCGGUGGGAGUAGCCCCCGAGUGCGGUUGCAACUGUGUGUAGUGGCGACCGGACUCAAGGUUGUAAUGUGAUAUCCUUGAGCAAUGUUGCACCCCUUCUUUUUUUGGAAUGGAGCGCCCUGACUUGCCAAUUAGCGCCGAGUCGAAUUCCGACUUGUGGAAGUCGAAUUUGAGUCGGAUUUGAAGUACUCCUGGUGGGAGUGCCUCGCAGUCGAAUAUAAAUAGCCGAGUGCAGACUCGAACGUACUAGCCAGCGCAAGGGAUUUGUCCUGCUGAUUAGCACUUGGGCCUUGGAAGAAGAUAUGGAUUCCUCCGAUGCACUCGAGGUUAUGCAUAUCCGUUUGGGACAUGUGAGGAAUACCACCUCGCGCAGGCAUGGGAGGAGAUUUCCUUGCUCAAGUCGGAGAAUCGGGCCGCAUCGGGUCGAGAGGAUUUAAUUUCCUCAGGGAAAAUGUGAAGGUUGAAGCUGAAUGUGUAAAGAGUCGUCUUGAUGCUUUAGCACGAUCUGGUUCGGAGAACCCAUCCUUCUAGUCAAAACCGCGACAAGGGUUAUGCCCUUGCGCUUCUGCAAGAUCGAGUUGCAAGAGCAGUGAUCUGCCUGAAGUCCUGCAGUCACUGUUUGACAGAGGUUCACCAUAACUUGUUUCCGGAGCUUCGUGUCCCUGUUGACCUGAAGGGAUUAAUCGAGAGAUUUUGUGAAGGAGCAGUAGUGAGGGGGGCUACUCAUGAACAAUUGGUGGAGGGUGUUGUGCUGGCUCUCUCGUUUGUUCGUUUUCGCUACCCCUCAUUGAAUCUGGACUCCCUGCAUUUGACUCCCUCUUACAUUCCAGACGAUGCUCAGCUUGGACCGAUUUACGACAUGAUGGAGAACACGACAUGUCAGCUGGUGACUCUUAUGGCCUUGGAGUAGAGUAGGCUUUGAUACUCGUUUAAAUAUGUAGGCGUAGUUGUCUGAGUAGUAUUUUUACCGGGUGCGCGACCAGCGCUCCCGGUGGGAGUAGCCCUCGGGUCUGUGCAUGACUGGUUUGCAGUCAUGUGGAGACCCAAAUACUUUGAAAUCUUUUGUAAUUGAAAACUGUUAGCAUCGUUGAAGAUGCCGCACCUUCUUGUUCUGUACUUCCAUUGAUCUUGUAUGAGAAAACAUUAUGAUUCCAAUUUUGCUUGCUUGGAAACUGCCGACCAUUGAAUGAUUGUGCUGAUGUUUGUUUACGCGAUAGCCCGUGAAUGCCGGCUGCAUACAACGAGAGUUUUUUAAAGUCGAUUGAACGCAGCCUCCGAGCGUGGGGUGCGACCAAUGACAAUGUCUGCGGUCGACGGGACACAGCCCCCGAGUGUCGAGUGUGUCCAAUGAUAAGUUUGGGUCGAUUGGACGCAGCCCCCGAGUGUCGGGUGCGUCCAAUGACAGUUUAGGUCGAUUGGACGCAGUCCCCGAGUGUCGGGUACGUCCAAUGACAAGUUUGGGUCGAUUGGACGUGUAACAUACCGGUUCUCGGCAUUUCCAAAAUCUAUUUCCUAAAAAUGACUACUUGAAAAUUUCGCUGAAUUAAACAAAGCUUAACUGGAAAUUUCUUGAAUCUUUGGUUCUAAAUUGAAUUUACACCGACUAAAUAUGAAUUUGAUUUAUACACUUUCUCAUUUGGUUUGCUUAUAUUUUAUUUGGAUUCUCCAUGUUCAAAUAUGCACUUUUAAAUCUCUCUGGAAUUCAUCUCGAAGUUGAUUUGAUGUUUGAGAAGUUCAUUCGAUCUCUUAGCUUCUGUAAAAAUAAAAAAGCAUUUCCUCUUUCUUUUUAGCUUUGGCUGAAAUCCCCAGCCGCAACCCAUCUUCCUUCUCUCUCCCGUAGCCCACUUCUGGCCGAACUGCUCCAGACUACCGUGCCUUGCUUCUAUUUUCUCCCGCGUGUGUUUAAUCUCCAGAGGACGAAGGAGAACUGCCAUCUCCUCGACGCCAGUGUAACUCGAGCUACCUAGAACGAUCGUAUUCAGAGGGAGCUCACGCGAGGAAGACAAGAGUUUUUGCGCUGCUCAAACUUCCGCAGCUUUUCUGGCAUUUUUCAUUCCCCUUUUUAUUCAGACGUUACAUGCAAAACAGAAAAUGGGGAGAGCAAGCCGCGCCAUGAUCCGCUGAUCCCGCGCCAUCCCACGGCCGAGUCAUGGCGCACAUCCCGCUCCUCCACAACGGCCACACUAUAGGCACGCCCAUGCAAACGUACGCAGACAUGCUGGGACGUGUUAUGCUAACAGAAAACAAACUAACAACUGAAAGCAAAGAUGUUUAACAUGCACGAGUUUACUAACAAAACACUCCCUAAACUCGUGCACCUACUUUAUUUGGAUCAUACCAAUCUUCGAGCGCAAUUCCUGGAAUCUGACGCGGCCAAGGGACUUGGUCAGGAUAUCAGAGAGCUGCGCCUCAGUUCGGAUGAACUCCACUUCAGCCUGGCCUUUCUCAACGCACUCCCGUAUGAAGUGAAAUCGAGUGUCGAUGUGUUUGCUCCUGUCGUGGAACACAGUAUUCCGGCUGAGAGAGAUCGCCGACUUGUUGUCGACGAACAACUUGAUGCAGGCCGCCUCUUCCUUCUUCAGUUCACCGAAAAGACGAGCUAGCCACACUCCCUGAGAGACAGCAGUGGUCACCGCAAUGUAUUCGGCUUCACAAGAUGAGAGCGCCACCACCUUCUGCUUGGUUGACUGCCAGGUAAUCGGACUUGUUCCGAGGAAGAAGAGGACGCCGUGGUGCUUUUGCGGUCGUCUAUGUCGCCAGCCAAGUUGCUGUCGCUGUAACCGACAAGGUUGGCGUCGCCGUUUGCUCCUCGUGCAAACUUGCAGCCAUAGUUCAGGGUCCCCGCGACGUAGCGAAGUAUGUGCUUCACUGCUGCAAGGUGCUUGACAGUAGGGGACUCCAUGAAUCUGCUCACAUAGCCCACCGAGAAAGUGAUAUCCGGCCGGGUGUGAACCAGGUACCUGAGGCACCCCACGAUGCUCCUAUAUUCAGAAGCAUCCGUUGGCUCUGCUGAACUAGCUUUGCUCAGCUUGAGGCGUGUUUCCAUCGGCGUCUGACAAGAAUUACAGCCCGUCAUCCCACUGCGCUCAAGGAUCUUCACGGCGUAUGAGGACUGACAGAUGGUGAUGCCGGCAGCGUCUUGCUGCACUUCAAUGCCAAGAUAGAAACUGAGUGGCCCAAGGUCACUCAUCUCAAACAGCUGCUUCAUUUCUGCUUUGAACAACUGCAGCUCUUGCUCGUUGGCUCUAGUAAUGAUCAGGUCGUCCACGUAAACUCCGACCAAAACUCUGGCUUUGUCUUCACCUCUGGUAUAGACAGCAUGCUCCAGCUUGCUGCGAACAAAGCCAAUUGACGUAAGGCAAUGAUCCAGCUUUGCAUUCCAUGCCCUAGGAGCCUGUUUUAGACCAUAUAAGGCCUUCCGAAGCUUGAACACCUUGUGCUCUUGCCCUUUCACCUCGAAGCCCGGUGGCUGAGCAACAAACACCGUCUCCUCUAGUUCACCAUUGAGGAAGGCGGACUUCACGUCCGUGUGGUGCACAGUCCACCCGGCAUGCGCCGGGAGAGCAAGCAGCAGCCGGAUGGAGUCCAGAUGAGCGACCGGCACGAACACUUCGUCAUAGUCCACGCCAUGCCGCUGCACGUAGCCCUUUGCGACAAGACGGGCUUUGUGCUUGGCCACCUUGCCGCGAGAGUCUUUUUUCACCUUGUACACCCACUUCAAUCCUAUAGGACGUUGUCCUUCCGGCAGCGAGACCAAUUCCCAAGUAUCAUUGGCCUCAAUAGAAUGCAUUUCCUCCAUUGCUUUGCGCCACCACGCAUACUGGAUGGCAUCACGGUGGCUCGUUGGUUCUUCGUUGAUGAGGAGAUUCAGCAGCGGGGCCGCACCGGCAUCAAGCACAUUCCUGACAGUGCGAUACCGAUGAGGCACAUGAGCGUCGUCGUCGUUGUCGAACAGCUCUGGUUCCACCGUGGGUGGAGAGACAAGCUCGAAUCCCACAGUGGGCGAUUCAGCAGGCGUUGCUGGUGUUGCGGGCGUUGCUGGAGUCAUGGGCGCUGGACUGGAGUCGUUCGUGUUGUCGGCCGGAACUGGAGAUAAUGCCGCCUGCGUCGCGGCCGGGUGCAGCACAUACUCAACAGUAAAAUAAUCUGUCGACAAACCAGAGUCGUUAUUGCUGCCGUCUGCGUCCCAGUUCCAUGCCGCAGACUCGUCGAACACCACGUCACGAGUGACAUGGAUGCGCCUCGCCACGGGAUCAAACAUUUGGUAGGCCUUGAUCCCAGGCUCGUAGCCGAACAUGACCAUCUUGCGGCUCCUGUCGUCCAGCUUCUUGACAUUGGGGCUCACCAUUUUGACAUGGCCGAUGCAGCCAAAAGUGCGGAGAUAGUGCACAUUCGGCUGCCAUCCAUGCCACGCCUCGAACGGGGUCUUGCCCUCAACGCUGGCCGUCGGCAAACGGUUCAGCAGGUACACUGCCGUGGUGACUGCCUCGCCCCAGAACUCCGCCGGCACUCCCUUCGCCUUCGCAGGCAGCGUGCCAUGCCGACGACGUUUGAUUGCGCCGCUCGACGACGCCGUUUUGCUGGGGAGAGUACGGCGCUGUCAAGUGCCGCUUCACUCCCAGCUCCUCGCAAUAUGCAGUGAAGUUGUUCGACGUAAAUUCACCGCCGCGAUCGGUGCGCAGCGCUCGGAGUGGAUGCUGCGACUCGUUCUCGGCAGCCACCUUGAAUCGCUUGAUGGCCACGACUGCCUCGUCCUUGCUCGUCAACAAGGUCAGCCACAUAUACCUGCUAUAAUCAUCCACAAGAAGCAGGAAGUACCGCUUGCCUCCUGGCGUUGCCGGUGUCACCGGGCCGCAGAGAUCGCCAUGCACCAGUUCAAGCUGAUCUGCAGCCCGGUACUUUGCCUGGUGGGGAAAGGGAGCUCGGCGUUGCUUCCCCACCAAGCAGCUGUCGCAGAGCUGGCCCACGCGCUCGAUCGUCGGCAUGCCGCGAACCAUGCCGUCCCUGGAGAGCCUCCGCAGUGCAUCGAAGUGCAGGUGGCCGUACCUGGCGUGCCAACGCCAGGCGUCAUCGUUCCCUUGUACAGAGAGGCAGAUGGGCUGCGCCACCUCGAGAUGUAGCACGUACAGACGCCCCCGGUUUCGCCUCACACGAGCGAGCAGCUUCCGUUGUGGAUCCCACAGCCGGAGAACGCCGUGGUGGAUGUUCGUCUCACACCCAAUUUCGUCCAUCUGCCCUAGACUGAUGAUAUUGCUCUCCAGACGUGGGAUGAAGUAGACAUCAGUGAGCACUCGGUGCUCACCGUUCCGGCAAGUGAAGACAAUCUUGCCGCGGCCCUCGAUGUUGACCAGCGAGCCGUCCCUGAGCUUUACGCGUCCACUCAUGCCGGCAUGCAGCUCGGAGAAGAGUUCACGGCGCCCGGACAUGUGGUUCGACGCGCCACUGUCCAGGAACCAUGACAUGUUGCAGCGCCCAUCGCCGGGAGCCGCGCGGGCUUUAGAGUGCUCCUCAUUCAGCAUGACGUGCUCCUCGGCGUCGUCCGUGAUCACCUUCAGCGCGCACGUGCGCGCCAUGAGGAGCGCCGGCUCCUCGUCGUCGGCUUGGGCGAGAUUGGCAUGCCCCUUUCAUUCCUUCCUAGGCUCACGACAAUGCUUCGAGAAAUGGCCCAUCUUAUUGCAAUUGAAACAUUUCACCUUGGACAUGUCGAUGUUUCCGUUGGCGUCGCGGGCAUGCCCAAUGCCCUGUUGCUUCGGAGCCUUGCCGCGCUCGUUGCCGUUCGCGUUCUGGGCAUGGUUCGUGCCGCCCACGUUCUGGCCUUGGCCACCGCUGCCUUGGCCCGUCUGGCGCUGGCUGCGGCGUGUCUCCCACUCCUCUUCGGUGAGGAGUAGCUGGCCUCCGGCAGCACUGGACGAGCUGCUGCCGAGGGUGUAUCGGGACUCCGCCGCGCGAAGCCGCCCGAUGAGUUCCUCCAAAGACACCUGCUUGAGGUCGAGCAGCGUCUCAAUCGACAUCACGAUUUGCAUGUAUUUCUCCGGCACACGCGCGAGGAACUUCUUCACCACCGUGUGACCGGCGCCACCGGAUCGCCGAGCGUCUCCAUGUGGUUGAUAUGGCUGUUGACCCGCAUGCUGAACGAGUCGAGGGAUUCGCCGAGUUUGAAGGCGAAGCGCUCCCACUGCGUGCGAAGGCGUUCCACCGCCGCCUUGCGCACGCGCUCCACGCCGAGGCGCAUGAGCUUGAUGGCCUCCCAGCCCUCCCUGGCCGUCUCCUUGGAGGCAAUGAUGCCUUUCAUCUCCGGUGGCACGGCUUUGAUCAGCGCCGCCAGAGCAUUCAUCUCGUCGACCUCGCUGAUCUCGUCGUCCUCCUCAGCGAUCAUGGCCGUCCACAACCGCUGGGCACGCAGGUUGACCUUCAUGACCUGUGCCCACUCGACGUAGUUCGUCGCCGUUAGCUCGGGGCAGGUGAUCGUGCUUCCCCCGCCGCCGGCGACCACCCUCUCCUGGACGAUUAUCUGGCGGUUGUCGUUCCGCCUCGCGCCAGGACUCUGACCUCGCGGCCGUCGUGAAGCCGACCGCGAACCACCGACAGACCGCUCGCGUGAGCGAUCCUGACUGCCGGCCAUGGCGCCUAGAGCCUUUCGUGGCUCUGAUACCAACUGUAACUCGAGCUACCUAGAACUAUCGUAUUCAGAGGGAGCUCACGCGAGGAAGACAAGAGUUUUUGCGCUGCUCAGCCAGAAACCGGCAACAAGAAACGUCAUCCGACAGCCAUCAAAUUAAUAACCCCAUCUUGCCCUUCCUUCCUUUCCUCCCUGCUGCUUUUGCACGCCAUAGCCUGAAUUCCACCCGCAGCAUCGCCAAGUCCCUGCCUGCGCCCCACUGCCCACCAAAUCGCCAUUGAUGUUGACGGCAGAAUCCUGCGAAUAAAAACGCUGCAGACCAAACCCUUGCGCCAGAACAACCACACCAUUCCAAUUUUCCCCAACGCAACUCUCCCCUCUCCACUUUCCAACCGAAGACCCCCAUGGUGCAGCACCGAAGAGGAUGACAAGGGAGAGCAGCACCAGCGAUCAUGUCAGGAGGGCCAUGCCAAGAAGGGAUCGAGGCCAAGCGCCAUGCAGUAGGAAGAAAGGACUGUCGUCUGAUCGACUACAACCGCCAGCAAAUCCUCCUGUCUUUAUUCUACUGCUAUUCAUCGAAUUGGUGAGAAUCUGAUCAAACCAUCAUCCUUUUGAAUGCCUCUACAUCCAGCACAUAUGCAGAUUCAAGUGGAUUUCUGAACCAAUUUGUUUAGCAUCCCCAAAUUCUCUUUCUUCCACUUCUGAAUAUUGUUCCACCGAUCAAAUCUUUCUCCCAUCCUUUAGUAACCAUCUUUAGUCAGCAUUACCACUGGUUACAGGUCCUAGACCAAUCGGAUAGGGGUUGGGAACAAUAAAACUCAAAUAAGCCUAUCCUGCUUGUUAGCACCAAAAUGGUUGAUUUCAUAUCUUUGCUAGAUCAAUUUUUGUUUGUCUGAAACUUUCUGCAUAUAUAGAUGUCUAUCAUGUUCUAGUAUUAAUUUACUUUGCAUACAAAUAGUUUCACAUGUUCUGGACUUGUAGAUUUGAGGAUCUUGAGAUUGCAAGGUUGUUAUUUCAUGUGCAAUAGUUAUUUUGAUCAUGCUUGUUCUUUCUGUGUAAAAAUCUGCAUAAAUGUCUAUAAGAUCAUGUUUGUAGUUAGUUUUACCUGCACACAUUUUAGUUGGACUGUCACUUCUGAAUCUCCAUUUGUGGGCAUGUUUUAUCUAUUAUUUAAAAGCAUUGUUUGCAUUCUAGUUCAUCGGUUUGGUACAGAAAAUCAUGUGAAUGAAGUUUGCUGCACAAAAAUGCAUGGCAUGACAUCUUAGAUACUUCUAUGAGUAUUAUGAACAUAUUUUAGAACUCAGCCAUAUUUAUGUUAUUGAUCGUUGAGUGUAUCUAUUUUAAUUUGUGCAGAUUAAUAAAUGAUCAUUCUUGCAUAUGUUUUGCGUAGCUUAUUUGUACGGGUUAGAUUUAUGUCUUGGCUUGCUUGUAGUAUUUUUAGCCUGUAACAAAUUGUAUAUAUAUUGUUACAUAAUUAUUUCUAAAGUUUGUAGAAUUUUCUCACAUGCCUAGUUAGCUUUCAGAUUUAUAAAUUAGCAUCCUUGCUUGUGUUUUUGUUUAUGCAGCACAGCCAUGAUAGUUGUUUUGGUUAUAUCAGAUUUAAUAUAGCUUUUGUAUGCUUACUAGUAUUGUUGGUAAUUAUUUGAGUAUUUAUGGAUUGCUAGUUUGUUUUUAACAUUAUUAUUUCCAUAGAUAUACCAUGUUUAGUGUAUAUAAAUGCUUGUUAAUGUAUAUACUAUUUGUCUAAUACAUUGCAGCGUCCAAUAUUAUACUUGGGUUGUUUUGAUGCUUUCCAUGCUGUUCAUAUAUAUGUCAUGGUAUGAUGUUUGUUAUCCAUGGCCCAAGGUAGAAGAAGACACACAAACACAAUGAACUCACAGAGGCUUUGGCACCCGCACACCUCGUGUCUUUUUUUCUCUUGUUCACUUGUAAACUUAGCUGAUUACAAGUCUUAAGUAGAGAGAAAAACAUAGGCACACACUGCUGCUUUGAUCCGCUAAUUGCUCUCCACUAGCCGGUAGCUAGAAAGCCACGAAUAAUCACGUUGGAUACGGCCACACGAUUCAGCCGGAGUCCUCCUCAACUUGUUGAUUACUCGGUCCACACCUGAAGCCUCUAAUGGCCAUGUAACUCGGUCAGCAACAGCACACCUACCUGCAUGCUACUUAUCCUAUCGAUGCCAACACAUGCAUCCAUUCUCCACUGGACUAGCUAAUUCAACUAACUAAAGUACUAAACUCACUUAGCUUGCAUGCACACACGUGAACACAUCUCUCCGUGUGCGCUGCCACAGCUUGCUACCUGAACGACACAAAUAAAUGAACAUGAUGAAAAAACUCUAAACAACAAGGUUAACUCCAACAAUGUUUGCAUUUAUCCACUACCUAUAUUGCAUAUAGAGUAGGUUUGUACAAUUGCAAUGCAUUUGCUAUAGUUUAUUCUUGUAGCUAUUCCGAUAUUGCAUGAAUGCUUUGUACAAUUUUAGUACAAUAUAUUCCAAAGCCAUGAGCUUGAUUGUAUUUAUAGAUACAAAUAAUAUGCAUGUGCUUUCUUAUUGCUUGGCAUACUUUGUUAUGGUUUGACUUAUACAUCAUAUAUGCUCAUCCAUGGAUAGCCUCUUGCUUGCUAGCUAGUGAUACAUGUUAGUUGUUGCCUGUCCCUGUAUAUGCUAAUAUAAGGAUGCAUGUCAUUUAUUUGUUUAGCUUUGCCAUGUUUGUUAGUGCAUAUGUCCAUAUUAUCACAUGAUAGCCUAUUGUCACUGAAGGAGCAUAUGUAUUCUAGAGUGCUUUAUCCCUAUUAAUUAUUCUCACAUGAUAGCAUUGUUUGUUCUGACCUCCAUCAUGUAUAUGUUGGCUUGCAAAUGCCUAUAUUGUUUAGUUGCCUAUAGCUAAGAUGCAUCUCUUUGGUAUUAUCAUGCUCAUGCCACUAGCAUAGAUCCUAUGCUUGCUUGACUAGUAUAGAAUCAUGUGUGGCAUGUUUUACUCAUAAUUUAUCUGUUGUGAUUGUUCAUGCUUAAUUUGUAUUCAACCUUGACUUGAAUUAGAACUACUUCUGUUUUUUAUUUUAUUUAUUUUUAUCAUGUGUAGAGAGAAUUGUUAGCUUUGUAAGUCUCUCACUCAUCCUUGCUGUUGUAUGCCAGUUUGUAUAUUAUGCGAAUUGCUUGUUUAACUAGGAUGAUAGGAGUUUGAUUGCUGCUUGCAUGCUAGCAUAAUAAUGUGUGUUGCUUUGUCAUGGAGUGCAUUUACAAAUAUGCUUGAGAGUUAUCUUUGGUUAGUGGCAGCAUAGCUUUAUAGUUUAGUAUUUAUUAUUAUUAUACUAAAGGGUAUGACCAAUCAUAUAUAUCCUUCCUCUCGGAUAUAUAAUUAUACUUGUUAGAAUCUGUCCCACCAUCCAAUCCUAUCAAAGUUAUUCAUAUCGUUUCCAAACCUAUUGUCAGCCUCAUUGUUUAUUCGCUCUCUUAUUUCUAUUUCAUUUGACUUUAUUGCUUUUGCAUUUAUUUUGUUUGUUCUUGUUAUCGUUACGACAAAUAGAGAGUGACGAGGUGGAUCUGAGUGCGUCCAAUGACAAGUUUUGGGAUCGAUCUCUCAGUUCUGAGUGUGAUGCGAUCGCAACAAGGUAAGUAAAAGGGGAAGGCUCUGAAUAGAGGAGCAUAAUUAGUUUUAUUACGUACCGAUGGUACAAGAAGGUACUUAAAAAUGCAGAAAAAGGAAAACGAAUAGGUGAGAAACUAAAAAAUAAAAUCGAGUAAAAAAAGCCUGGCGCGUUGGCGGCACAAUUGCGUGGCAUUCCGCGCCUUGCUUCUUGAGUCCCCGGCUCUGGAUUGGAGUCUGAGGGGGAGGUUUUUGAUUCUCCUAUCCCGUAGUCGAGUUGGCUGAACAGCCAUGUCAAGUGCAACUGGGUGCACUGCUCCGGCGAAACUGGCUGGGCGCGGAGGCGGAGGAGGAGCACCGAUGGCUAGAGCUCCUGGUAUGGGAGGCAGCAAGGGUGCAUUGACUCCUUCGUUAGGGUAUGGAAGCAUCCCAGGUAGCUGUGAGAAGCCCGCACUUGUUGCCCACUGCUGUGUCCUGGCAAACUCAGCCUGCAGUUCCUUGGAGCGCCGGCACUCGGCUAGAGGGUGGCUUGGCUUGAUGUUGCCUUGCUCAUCCCUGUAGACGUGAAACGGGCAAGGGGAAGCUAGCUGCUGAGCAAGGGUUGGUUGAUUUCUUUUUCUCUGCCAUUUGUUGCCCACGCUUGUCACCACCUCGAAAACCUCCACCGUGAUUUCCGGUCUCCUAAGAGCCAAAAUCUGUCGGAGAGGCUGCCGCGAUGAAUUCAGGAGGGUGUGAUUCUUCGAAGGCUCGGUUUUUGUGCUCCUUCGUCGAUCGUGGCCACGAUCACCCUCUUCCUCUGGAGAUCGGUGGCGUUCAUUGCGAACCGAGUCUUCACCGUCAGCCCAUCGAUUUGUGGGCUGCACACAACCCAAUUCUUCCUUGAGUUCGACUCGUCGGAGUCCUCGUUUGAAGGCGUACAUGGCGCUUUCGUCGGAGACUUCCUCAGCAGCGUGUUUGGUGUUGGUCCAGCGCUGGAUGUACGAACGGAUGGAUUCUCCCUCCUUUUGAAUACAAGCUCAGAGUUGCUCGAUGUCGCACCAGUGGCACCCAGGGUACCACCGCUGCACGACGCGUGGGCCCCGUUCCCGGGUUCCCGGGAAGGUCUCAUCCCGAGGAGCGUCUAUGAGCUCCCCGGCAAGCUACCAGCCCGAAAGGGGCUCGCGGGGCUUCGGGGAAUAUUCCCGCCUGGGCACCUCCGGGAAACUGCUUCCCGAGAGGGGGUUCCCAGGUGCGUUGGGCCCGGGUGCUUCCCGGGGUCGACUUGCUGGGUUCCCGGGCGCGUGCCCCCGCCUCGGGCGUGGGGCCCAGUGGACAGCGCCACGCGGGCGCAAUGCGGGCGCGGGACGCGCGGUCCCACCAAGGCAAUGAGUAAGGCGCACGGCUCAGUAAACGAGCCGACCGACGGGUAGUUACCCGUCCGAUCCAAGGAACAGUGGUUGUCUAAUCCUACCCUAGGGUCCUAGGCCCCUAGCAGCAGAGGUGGCACCCAUGCACGCCACCAGCUCACCGGGGGAAGUUGCAUGCCUCCCCGUUGGACACUUGUAGCUCAUGCACCAUGGCACAUGUGGCAUCCCCUUGUGUAUAAAAGGAGGACCCAUGCCAACGGUCAAGGGGGUUAGUCAGUUGGUCAGUUAGUUGGUUCGGACGAAGCUCGCUCGAUAGAUGCUUAGUGGCUCCGGUAGGCAGCCAGCAGAGAGCGGUGAGGAGUGCCUAGCCACUGAGAGAAAGCCCGGGAGCUUGCCCGACAACCUGUAAACAUUUGAUCCGUAAUUAAUAUCAGCUCAGACAGGCAGGACGUAGGGUUUUACACCUCCGGGUGGCCCAAACCUAGGUAAAAAACGUGUGUGCAUAUGUUCUUGGACUAGCGCGCAUCCUUAGCACUUUGUCUCACCGGCCCCGUAGGGCCUCAUCAGCCGUGCCGACGAUCACCGAGUCUCCGCCCCAGACGCCCCUACCGAACCUAAAAGGGGGACGUGGCCGCACGCCCUCGGUGUCGGAGCACCGAGCGACGACAUCUGGCGCGCCAGGUAGGGGGCACGGGAGUGGACAACGCCGGAGAUCGCCGGCAGCAGAAGUUUCCAUCGGCGUCGGCUUCGCUCUUCUUCGCCGACGAGCCUAGUCACCAUGCCCCCCAAGCGGGCUGGUGACUCACGCAUAGACUCGAGUCGGGGGCUCAAGAGAACCCCGAGCCCUCUAGGGUGCAGCAAACGCAGCUGCCUCCGCCGCCUCCUCGGCCGUCGACCGACAAUCGGCCAAGGGGACCGGCUGCCCCCAGUGUCGGGGGCAGUCGGGCGAGCACGCACGACGUCGCUCGGGCCAGCCAACGGGUUGAUCGCGGCUCGAGGACGCCCCGCGGCAGCGGCACCAGGAGCACGCCGCGUCACGAGCAACCCCUGGGGGUUCGCACCCUGCACACCCGGAGACGUUCAGGAAACCGGCUGCCCCCCGUGCGAACCCCGGCUGAAGCCAUCGUCGCCGCGCGCGUCAUGGUGCGGUACGAGCCGCAGCAGGGCACGCCGGUGCACGAGACGUGGGGCAAGGAGUUGGAAGCGCUUCUCGCCCUGGCCGCCCAGCAGCCGCAAGGCGAGGGCGCCCCGGUGGGCUCCGGCCACGGGCAGAACCCGGAGCGCGGAGACGCGUCACCCGCCUCACGACAGGGGGAGAACCCUCCCCUUCCUCACCGAGGCCAAGGAGACGGGGGCCCGGAGGGGUCCUCGAACUCAUCGCCCACCGUUCCGGGGGGCGAUGCGCAUGGCAUCUUGAAUGCUCGCCAGCAGGAGGAUCUGCGCCAGCGCUUGGAGCGCUGGCACAGGCGCGAGGUGGAGCGCCAGCGCCCUUAGGAGCAAGAAGAUGCUCCCAUGGGCCCCGAGGACGGCUGCACCGCGUUCACGCGCGAUCUGCGGCGGGUGGCGUGGCCCCGUAAGUUCCGAGCGCCUGCGCUCAGUACGUACGACGGGACCGCUAACCCCAAGGAUUUUCUCCUGACCUACACGUUGGGCAUGCAUGCCAUCGGCGCUGAAGGGGAUCAAGCAGCGCCACGAGGAGCGCCGCGCCGCCGGCGCCUGCUUCAAUUGUGGCGACAUCGGGCAUCUCUCCUGAGAUUGCCCGAACGACCCCAGGGUGGGUCCGAGGCCGGCCGGCGGUGGUGCCGACAAGGGUGCCCCAAGGGGGGCGCGGCCAACCCCGCGCUAUGCGGGAACACCCUCCUCGGGGACGCGACAGGGCGCGUGCUGAGGAGCAGCGCGAGUCCGACUAUUCCGGCGGCAACGAACCGGGCUUCCAGGAGCCUCGUGGCGUCGCCUGCAUUCAUGGGGGAGCUUGCGCUCUCCCUUCCCACCCCGCGGUGAAGCGCCUCACCCGCGACGUGUGCGCGCUGUUGCCGGAUGCGGAACCGCAAUAGCCGCUGAGGUGGUCGCACGUGCCGAUCACCCAGCACGGCAGUUGGGUUCAGGGGUAAUACCCUUCGUCGUCUCGCCGAUCAUUAGCAAUAUGACGGUGACCAAGGUGUUGGUGGACAACGGAGCGGGGCUUAACCUCCUGUCCGCCAGGCUGGUGGAAAAGUUCCAGCUGCCGAUGGAGCAGCUGAAGCCCACCGAACCGUUCCGGGGGGUGAACCCCGGGAUCGUGUGCCCGCUGGAACGCAUCACGCUGCCGGUCACCUUCGGGUCCCGUGUAUCGUUCAGGACCGAGCACAUAGUGUUCGACGUGGCGCAUACCCCGUUGCGCUACAACGGGAUCCUUGGUCGGCCGGCGCUGAUCAAGUAAUGGCGGCUACGCAUUGCGCCUACGGCGUGAUGAAGAUGCCGUCCGUCUAUGGAGUCCUCUCCAUCAGGUGCGACCUCAAAGACGCGGCUUGGUGCGUUGGCGAGGUCGUCCGGGCCGCUGCUGCAGCUGACGCCGGCGACGAGGAUGUUCUCGAGGACGACGGCUUGCCGGGUGAUGCCCUGGCAACGAAGAAGUCCCGUGCCACCCCGCAAGGGCUUGCCGGGGGAGGUGCAGGCUCGGGCUCGCGCCCCGGCAAGGGGCAGGGGCUCCGGGAGGAGGCCACCAAAGUGAAGAAGUUGCCCCUCCAAGCCGGCGAUGAGGAGCGCACCGUUACCGUCGGUGCGAACCUGGCCGCCGAAUAGGAAAGCGCCCUCAUCACCUUCCUCCGGGAUAACGCCGAUGUGUUCGCCUGGCAAGCGUCGGACCUUCCCGGAGUCCCCAGGGAGGUGAUUGAGCAUCGGCUCGCGGUGUGCCCGGAUGCGCACCCCAUUAGGCAGAAGAUCCGGCGGCAAGCACAAGAGCGGAAAGAUUUCAUCAAGCAAGAGGUGGGCAAGCUUAGGGCUGCCAGGGCAAUCAGGGAAGUUUUGUACCCACUUGGCUGGCUAACCCUGUAGUAGUGCCUAAAGCAGGGAAUAAGCUUCGCAUGUGCGUACAUUUUACCGAUCUUAAUCGUGCAUGCCCCAAGGAUCCCUUCCCUGUACCCCGUAUCGACCAGAUAGUUGAUUCUACCACUGUUGUGAUUUGCUGAGUUUUCUGGAUGCUUUCUCCGGCUACCAUCAAAUCAAGAUGGCGGUCGAGGAUGAGGAAAAGACAGCGUUUAUCACCUCGGUUGGCUGCUAUUGCUAUACAUGCAUGCCUUUCGGGUUGAAGAACGCGGACUCCACAUUCCAGCGCGCCCUGCGCGAAUGUUUGGGCCCCCAGCUAGGCCGCAACGUGGAGGCCUACAUGGACGACAUCGUCAUCAAAUCGAAGCGUAGGGACUCGCUGGUUGAUGACUUGCGGGAGACAUUCGACAACCUCCGCAGGAUCAAGCUCAAGAUGAACCCUGAUAAGCGCACCUUCGGAGUCAACUCCAGGGAGCUUCUGGAUUUCUUGGUUUCACACCGGGGGAUACAGGCCAACUCGACAAAAAUAGAAGCCAUCCAGAAGAUGGAGGCCCCCCGCAAGGUGAAAGAUGUCCAACGCCUCAACGGCUGUGUUGCCGCGCUGGGACGUUUCAUCUCCAGGCUGGGUGAGCGUGCCUUGCCUUUCUUCCGGGUAAUGAAGAAGAAGGGUCCAGUCGACUGGACUCCCGAGGCCGAGGCAGCGUUCCAAGAACUCAAGCAGUACCUGAGGUCGUCGCCCAUCCUCGUCGCCCCCAAGCUGGGCGAGCCGCUGCUACUCUACCUAGUGGUGAUUGACCAGGUGGUCAGCUUGGUGCUGAUUGCCAAGAGGGAGGAAGACGUCCCGGGGACUGGGGCCGCGGGGCAGGGGGCGGGGCGGCCCUCGGCAACCGCCUCAGACCCGGGGACCGCCCCCGAGCCGGCAACCUCGGCACUGCGGAAGCGGUUGGUGCAGCACCCGGUGUACUUCGUUAGUACGGUGCUACGCGACGCGCGGACAAGGUACCCGCAAGUACAGAAGCUCCUUCUGGGGAUUCUCCUUGCGUCCCGCAACUGCGCCACUACUUCCAGGCGCACCGCGUCACGGUGGUGUCCGGGUUCUGCCUUGAGCGAGCCCUCACCAACCGUGAAGCCACCGGGAGGGUGGCCGAAUGGAGGAUGGAGUUGUCGGAGUUCGACCUCCACUUCGCCAACUCUAAAAGCAUUAAGAGCACGGCCCUGGCGGACUUCGUCGCGGAAUGGACGUCCACGGGCGUGGAAGAAAGUGAGCCGGAGACCAGCCUUCCCGGCAAGUUGGACGAGGGCCACUAGGUCCUCUACUUCGACGGUGCAUUCAGUCUUCAGGGAGCGGGCGCCGGGGUCGUCAUCGAGUUACCAACAGGGGACCAGUUGAGGUUCGCUGUUCAACUCGACUUCGCCAACUCCACCAACAACACGGCGGAGUACGAGGGCCUGUUUGCGGGGUUGCGGGCAGCGGUCGCCCUCGACAUUAAGCGCCUGGUUGUUUGUGGCGAUUCCCAGCUCGUAAAUAACCAGGUGAACAAGGACUACGAUUGCAAGCUGGAACGAAAGUUCAAAGGUUUGCGCUUUGAGCACGUCAAGCGGAAGGAUAACUUCGCUGCUUACGAGCUGGUCAAGAUGGCAGAAGAGCGCCGGAAGCCUCCAGCGGGGCUGUUCUGUCAGAAGCAAGUGGCUCCUUCAGUCACCCCGUGGUCGACCCUGCCUCGGUCGUCGAGGCCGUGGGGGCGGAGGUGUAGGCGGAACCGGCUCUCACGUCCGGCCCCGCUGUGACGGACACAGCGGCAGCAGAGGACACCGCCGCCGCCGUGACGGCACCUGGCGACGCGCCCGAAGCCGCGGACGUGGUCGACACGGGCUCACCUGUCGUCCAACAGGAGGCAACCCCCGCCGGAGGCAGGGAGCCUUCUCCAGCCCCGGGGUCCCCGAGCGCAGGCGCGGGGGAAGUUGCCGGGAAAGAACGGCAAGACCCCCGGGAGCAAAUCCACGACCCCGCGCCUAGCCCCACUUCGGCAGCAGGGGCUUCAUCAUCCUUGGGGGCUCGCCCGGGUACCUACCUCGGCACCCUCGCCGGGGUCGCUUGGAACCCCCUUACGUGGGAUCCGAGUGUCUUUGAGCGGGGGCACCGGUUCCUGGACGCCGUCCGGGACCAGCAAUUGGCCUUCGUCACCUCCUUCAACGAGGUGAGGGAGCACCACACCACCGCCAAGAAUCAACUCGGCGAGGGGCGGAAGGCCGUGGAGAGAGAGCGGCGCGAACUCUCCCGGCUGCGCGAGGCGACGCGCCUUGCCGAAGAGGAGGCGCGGCUGGCCCGGAAAGCCCUAGAGGCCGCUCGGGAGCCGGUAGUCCCGGAGACCGAGCUCCGUCGGCAACUGGAGGCCCAGCGCGUGGAGCUUCAAGGAAGGCUCGACACGAUGGCGGCCACCCUCGAGGCGGCCCGGAAGGAGCACGCCGAAGUGCUUGCAACGGCUCAGACGCGGCUGGAGGAGAAGAGCGAACUGAUCGCCAAUUACCAUGGCGAAAUCCAGGGCCUCCGCGUCUUGCUGGAGGUGCAGGUCAAGGAUGCCGAGGAUGCGGCGAGAAUGGCGGCUCGUCACGAGGCCGAGCUCAACUCCGCCAAAGACAGAGCGGCCAGGCUCGAGACCGAGUUGGCCGCCGUCCGGGAGGAGCUCGCCAAGGCCGGCGUGGACAAUGCGACCAAGGCCGCAGAGCUUGCGAAGCUGGAGGGCCGCGUCAGCAAGGCCAAGAAGGCCGCGCAGGAUGCCCGACUCCACCACGGCACGCUGAUCAGGAGGUCUUGAUUGCUUCCAGGGUGUUCGCCGGCAUGAGAGAACAGUUGUCCUCGAGUCGCAUUAUUUCGUAGAGUGUUGUCCUUUUGUGUGCACGGUAGCUUUCCUGCAUUAGAAAAAACAGAAAACAGUUUCUAAAAAAAAAAGGAAACAGAAAACUUGAAUGUUAUGAACCGGUGUUUGUCCCAAUAAUCUGGUAAGCCCAAUGAUAUCAUUAUAGUGCUUAGCGCGCCUGAACUUGGUGAGGGGCUUCAUGAGUUUUGUGCCGUCGUAGUUUCGCGCCAGGAAGGAGGCGCAUAGACCGGAGUCCUCGCGGCGCAUGAAAUUUAUGCUUACGGAAAUGUUGGCAAGAAGAAUGAACAGAUGCAUGGUGUAGUUUAGCUUACCUUGUAAAUUUGUCUGUCAUGAUUAUUGGGAAUCGCCUGGUCCAGUCCACAUGGCCGCAUGGCCAGCUGUCGAAAAACGAGCGCACGCAUCUGAAGAAGGCGUCUAUGAUACGAUCGGUAACGAGAUGGUGGAUAUUGACACGACGAUUUGAGAACCCAUAUGGUCCAGCCAUCGGAUCAAGGAUGUGGACGCAUCUAUCCUGCAUGUCAAGCGCAUAGACGCACCACCCCAACUCAAGGAUGGCUGGCACGGAGAACUAUACGUUUAGCAGAGCGGAAUCAGUUGUAGGCACAAUAGAAGGAAGACGUUCGCUGGGUUAGCAAAAAAAAUGGCUUGUCUUGAUUACCAUUCGGCAUGAGGUGACUGAGAACGCCUCGUGGUCGGCCAUGAACUGGUUAUGGGUGGACAUUAUAUCGAGCGGGUCCACACUCGACAAGACAAGGGUCUGGAGCAAAAUUAAUUUGUCAUCAAAUCGCAUGGCGCGUAUAUAAUAAAACGUAACAAGCCAAAUUGUAGUCCCGGAAGUGGGCUUACCGAGAAAUCCGGUUCUAGAAAUUUGCGCCAUCGCAACCAGUAUGAGUCCUUGGAUGAUUGGGCAUCUAUUUGGCUGAGACGACGCAUGAUUAGCGUGCCGAUUUCGUGUGUCAUGGGGUGGGACCCCACCAGUUGUUCUCUGAUCAUGGUUCCGUCGAUGCGCAGUGCUCGUGGCGUCCGAUGAUUGAUCCACAAACUGCUGGUGCAGUUAGGAAAUGGAAAAUAACAAGGAAUUUAUGAAUAUACGCGCAGUGUUCAUGGGGGUAAAAGGAAUUACCGUGUGAAAAUGGAGCCCGGUGCGCGAGUCAUCCAAUCAACAAUAGCUAUGGAUGCGGUCGUGGCAGGUCCGGUUGGGAAUGAACCAAUGGACCAAGGAUCCUGGGCGAAUUUGGCAGGUGUCGUGGACAUCAUGUUGGGGGAUGACAUGGUCCCCUGGCCAAACAAAGGAACUCCUUCGGUUGCAGUUUCUUGUGCGUAAGCAACUUUAAGAAUGGCGCACAUCUCGUCCGCGAAGUCCUGGAUCCUGGUUGCCAGCGUAUCUUCUUGAGGUUUGGGGUCGUCGCUUGAUUUGUGCGAGUUUGUUGGGUUCCUUCCGACUGAGCUGGCGGGGGAUUGUUGUGGACGAACAUUCGUAAAUACCGGCUGCUGUAUUUUUACGUUGCAGCCGUCUGUCGGGCGAAAGCAGACGGAGUUAGUCAUCAACAAUCAGGCACGUUAGCUUCCAAUGACAGUUUGUACUUGCCUUUUGACGUGUAAUUGUUGGAGUCGCGCUAGUUGGUACUGUUCUCGAGGAAAUCGCAUUGGGCUGAUCUCUUCUGUGUCAACGGGCUGUGGCCUGUAGAGCUCUCUGUUCAUAAUUUUUCAUCGCCGUUAAGCAGCUUUGCAUAACUGUGGAAGGGUUUGGGCAGUUUUAAUGGACGUACCGUCACAGUCAAGCGGGCUUGAAGGGCGUACGGGCAGCUUUGAAUCAUUUCGAGUGCGGUAAGAGCUCGGUGUUGUUGAGGGGUGGAAAUGGAAAAACAUUAGUAGUCGCUCUUUGUUUCAUGUAAAAAAGCGACGGCGUUUUAUUCAUAUACCUGCUAUGUUGCAUGUGUUGUGUGGAGGGUGGUUUGGUGCAUAACCCGAGACCGGUACAUAACCCAUGGUCUUGUCGGCGAAUGAAUACAUUUCCUCCUGACACUUGUUCUUGAACUCGUUGACGAAAAGGAUCAACCUAGCGUUAUGCUCCUUGAGUAGUAUGGCGGUCCGUGCUCCAGCCUGCGGAGAAGACAUGUGUUGCUGAUGGUUUCUUGAUGGCGGAAAUCAGUUUUUGCAUUAUCGCGGCUUACCUGAUUAGGGAAUUUUGUGCGUAGGUGGUUGGAGAAAUCAUUUGGUCCAGCCCUGGACACCAUGGUGGGCUGUGGGCCCCUCGUGUGUCCCAUCUAAUCCGGCGGUAAUUGCUGCAGAGGCUGCGCCUCGACGGGAUCUUGGACUGAUCGAGCUUGCUUGGACAGGUCUUCCUUGGGUACUGCGCUCGUUCGAAUCGGACUGCUGCAGCCAGUGCUCGGCCCAAUGCUCUGUACCGGUCAUGUGGACCCCCCACCCCCCAAAGAAGAAACGAUCAGUUCUUGUGAUACGUGUGGGAAUUUUGAUGGAUACAUUUAAGAUGGUGCGCAAACAAAACUAAAAAAUGACGCACCUGCGUGUGGUGGGAUGUUGGCGGGAAGAAUGUCGAACCCUGGUUUUCAGCAACAAGGUAAUCAACCAUGCAUUUGGUUGACUCGUAGUCGAACGAGCGGAUCCUGGGGUAAGUUCCUUUCGGAGGACUUAGCUUUCCAAGAUCGAUCUGUUCCAGGUAGAAAACCUGCUCAGGUGAAAAUGAAAUUGUCAGGACAUAAUACCCGCGCACCGUGAGAACGAACAAAUGAAAUUAUCAUGCAAAAUAAGGAUGAACCUGCAGAAGAAGGUGACACCCCCCGAGGUUGACGUUGCUGUAUCCGUUAGACAUGUCUGACUUUAUCUUCCGUGUUGCGACAGCGAUGUGUUUGAGCACAUACUCGGACCAAUUAUAAUUUGUGAUGCAUGACGGGUCGUUUAGAGCGCCAAGGAAGUCUAAGCUCACGUAAUCGUUCUUGGAGGACGGUGCGAGCAAAUGACCAACCACGUACACGACGAAUGCUAUCUUCAAGCAGCUUUGGUCGAUUCGUGGAGAGUUCGGGGUCAAUAUCUUCAACAGAUGCAGCUCCGCAGCCUUUAGGCUAUGGAUCCCAGGGACGUGGAGUUUUGAAUCGUUAGGUAUAAAACAUCAUCAGGGAGAAGCGAAAUCACAGGGAUGGUAGCCUUCCCGUGAACUAUCAGAGAGUGCGCAUAUGAAAUCGCGAGUGCGUACUAAGUGAUGUGGGAAGCCUGAGAAGAGAAUGUAAAAACAUGUCGUCAUGCGAAGCUUGAGACGCCGUCUUAGGUUUGGGAUGUCCGGCGAUGUGGGAAGGAGACGUCAAAUUUGUGUGUUCGCUGUGAGUGUGUUAACCAGGAAAUCGGCAGCACACCGUGUCGGGUGAAAAAUAUAGAUGCUCCAGGUGGUAGGUGGGAGCUUUAAUGUAGUAUGCGGAGGUUGGUGCGAGGGAGGAGGUGGUUAGCACGGCAUUUAUUGCAGCCCCUAGCUGUGUAUGAUGGCAUGGUCGUGUAUACCAUCUAGUGCGGUGAUGCUCGAUGCCUCUCUAUGUGUUAAUUAAUGGAACUUUGCUAUAACUAUUUUGUCGAUAUAAUUGAGAAUGGAGGACAUAGCUUAAACAGAACGUGUUCCUGGGAAUGAAAAUGUUGAUACAACUUUAUUACAGAUAGAACUGCCAAAUAAGGAAUAUAGUGCAUAAGGGGGGUCACUGCUUCGCGGCCAUGAUUGCGAUGGAAACAACCAAGUUGAGGACGGCGAGAAUUAGAGUGGUGAGCAUCAUGUAUGACUGCUGCGGGAUGCCGGCUCUCACACCAUGCGGCCGGUCGUUUGCUGGCGUGUUAGCGGGCGGUGACGAGUGAUGCUGCGCUUGAUCUAAUCCGGCGACGGACAUCUUGUUGAGUAUGGACCUGUACUGAUCUUGCCACUUGAAGUAGCCGCAGUUACCGUCGGCCUGGCGUUGCGAGUGCAAGAAAAAUGAAGGGGUUUCGCUGAUAUGUGCGAAAUGUGUUACUAUAGAAGAGCUAUGGAAGAAAUGAAUCGCGUAAAUACCUCCUCCACUGGGCAUUUGUAGAAACGGUGCCCCCUAAGCGGUCCUUUGGACUUCUUGAUAUACGUCUCGAGCAGAGCCUGGCCACACCUCGGGCAGUUGAUUAAGGGCAAGAUGGAGGUAUCAGGCGUUUGGUUGGUGUUGAGGGAGGAGGUAGACAUGGCCUCUGCUCCUUAGGAAUAGCAUUGUGGCUGCCGUCCUCUGUUGUGUGCUUGGAGUGGGUGUAUAUAAAGAACCGAACGUGGAGAAAGGUAUGACAAUUAAGUGGGUGAACGGUCGACACACCUGUUGCCUUAAAAUUUGGUCUAACAGUGGGGACACACAUAUAUGUUAAUUGCUAGUGUGGCGUGGAUGUCGGAAAGACUGAUUUUAUUUUUCCGCGCAACAAGCUUGGUUGUAGUGACCCCACCAGUCUCUCACGUGUGGGACCUGCCACCGUCGGUCUCCCCAAUCAACUCUCCCCGAUUCUCCGAUUGCCAUCUAUAUGUUUCUCUCCCGUGUCUCCCUGCGCUGACCGAUAGGAAUUCGAAUCCAAAUCCCCAUCUCGCCCCUCCCCUGCGUGGUCGCCGGCCGCCGCCAGCACCUCGUCCCUCCCCUGCGCCCUAGCCCGCCGCCCCCAACACCUCGCCCAUCCCCUGCGUGGUCGCCGGCCGCCCCCACACCGCGCCUCCUCUCCGCCCUAGCCGCGCACCAGCACCUCGCCCCGGCGUGCCCUAGCCGGCCGCCCCCAGCACCUCGCCCAUCCCCUGCGUGGUCGCCGGCCGCCCCCACACCACGCCUCCCCUCCGCCCUAGCGGCGCACCAGCACCUCGCCCCGGCGUAUUCGCCGGCCUCCCCACACUGCGCCUCCCCUGCACCCUAGCCGGCCGGCCCCAGCACCUCGCCCAUCCCCUGCGUAUUAGCCGGCCGCCCCCAGCGUGGUCGCCGGCCGCCCCCACACCGCGCCUCCCCUCCGCCCUAGCCGCGCACCAGCACCUCGCCCCGGCGUAUUCGCCGGCCUCCCCACACCGCGCCUCCCCUCCACCCUAGCCGCGGACGAGCACCUCGCCCCUUCGCCGGCCUCCCCUCACAGCGCCUCCCCUCUGCCCUAGCCAACCCAGCACACUCUGCCCCCUCCUCUCACGCAGCUGGUCCGCCACAGAUCCUCCAGGCGACCUUCGUUGCAGUCGACGGCCAAGAAGAAGUGCGAGAAGCGAGGGGAGAAAGGAGGCCGCCGGGGCCGGCGAGUUGCCGUGCAGUGGGUGUGGACGGGUCAGGCUGGGGCUAUUGAGUCUGCCGCCGCCGCCCACGCCCAUUGAAAUCUCCUCCACCGCGGGCACACAACUUACAGGUUUAGUACUGCCUAAUUUGAGUUCCGAGUCACGGUUCACUGAAAUUUCUAAUUUUAGGAUUUGUUGGAUGCAUAGCCUGGAAGUCCUUGGUGCACUUCGUCUAAUAGGGUAUGAAAAUGUGCUGGCAUUUUAGGAAUACCACCAUUCAUGAUGUUGUUUUGUUGAAUUGGUAUGAAAUAUCAUAAAUUGUAUCGGCCCAAAGGUGAAGGGAGCGCCGCUGCUGAUUGACAUCUUAAGAUAAGAAGUAACAAUCACUUAUCAUGCAGCUAGCCUGUCAAGCACAAUGGUAGAAGUAAUUUUUUUACCAUGGUUAAAUGUUGUAACUAUGCUGUUGCCUGUUGAAUAAUCUCCUCCAUUGCCUUGGUUCAUUUUCUCAACAACUUAAUUAUGUAUGCCACAUGAAAACUUCCUCGGUGAAAACAGAGAAGAGAUAUUUGUUUGCAGCUCUUGUGAAUUGAACUCAGCUUGUGUCAUUGACUCUACAUAUGUUACGCUGUGACCAUAUUCAGUGUCAUUUAGUUUCAGUGGCAUUCUAAUGUAACCGGCUUAGCACUCAUGUUAAUGCUCUAAUAUCCUCCUGAAAAAUUGUUGCAGAGAGCUGUACACAAAUAAUAUUCAGGUCACUAUCCCAGCUGAGCUUCGGAGUCUCAAGAGCCUUAUUAUCUUGGACUUCUAUAACAGCAAUAUAUGCAGGGACAAUACCAAUAGAACUCAGCAAGCUGAGAUCCUUAGUUUUCCUGUGAGUACUUUUCUGUUAUUUCUAUUGUAACAAUGUAAGCAUAUAACAGCCCUCUCAUUUUUUGCACCAUGUUCUGUUUAUUGGAAGCGUCUCACAAUUGAUUCUUCAAGUAGUUUUUGACAUUUUAUUGCUCACCUUAUUGGAUAGUUUCUAUUGGUGAAGAUCUGAUAUCUUAUUGACUGCCCUAAUAUUGCUAGCGUCGCCACCAGUCAAGUCUCCUCCACUGCCUGCUCCAGUGAGCAAUCCCUCUCCACCACUGCCUGCUCUGGUGAGCUCUCCACCUCCACCGGUAAAAUUACAUCUUAUGGGAAUUCUGAAUUAACAUAGAGUGGAAAUAAACAUAUUUUAUGUAUGCUGGUUGAAUGUGCAAGCAAAGAUACUAUUCUCAUACCACAUGUCUACAUACAUACAUAACACAUAGGUAUUGUAUAUGGAUGAAUGUACUCUCCCCAAUGGCUGGCUAAACUAAUGCAAAUUGAUUUGCUUAUUUUACAUAAUCAAUCAAAGGCUGGUGUCUGCAUGUACUGAUGCGCCCGCAUUACAUAUGCUAAAUGCCAAACUUGUCAUAAUGUUAAAUAGAUUAGGUACAUAGGCCAUUGGUUCUAGAGUAGUUGUCAGUACAAACUAAAGCCAAUCAUCGACUUGGUCAAUCUGAAGUUAAUUAAGUAAUUAGUACUACUGAAAAAACGUCAAGAGUAUAGGGGAAAUGGUAAGUCAACUGUGUCAAAGCUCUUUGUAGGUCGUCUAUCCAUGUUGUGAUACAGGACCUGAAUCAAUAUGAUGCACACACACAGAAAUAGAUUCAUAAAUUGGAAGCAAGCAUGUGAUCUUCCUUUGUUUUGGGAAUCUGGUGGUGUCUGCCUUCUUCAGUUCAGAUCAGAUGCUAUAUGUGAUUAAUUCUUUUGUGCCAUGCUUAAUUUAAUUUAAUGGGUUCAGUCUCAGUCUGUGCACCAGCAAGUUUGUUUGCUCCUAACAUAAUCAUUUAAUGUGUUGAGAAAACAUUAUGGAUCAGCUUGAGAAUUUAGUGCGAAUAGAUUAAGCAAAAAAAUUCAUGAACAAAGAACACCUAAUGAGGAAUAAUAUUUAGAAGAACUUGUUAGAUUAUUUUUUUACUUAUCCAGUGCACACCAAGGUCAGUACAGGCAAGUCUGUUCUGUCAAUAGCAUUUUUUGAACCUAGGAUUGUUAUUCAAUUUCAGAUAUCACUUCAGUGGUGUUACAAUUACUGGAUGAUAGCUGUUGGUUUUGUGUUUCCUAUUUUUGCAACUUUAUGGUUCCAUGAACAAAAUCAUGGACUAACUCCCUUUUGCGACAUGGCUAGGGUUACAAAAGUCUUAUCUUUCACAUCGGUAAACAUGUUCGAGAAAGGAGAAAGCUCAAAAGGUACUAAUCUCUAGAUGGAUAUAUUUCUUAUGGCAUGCUUACUUUAUUAUGUGUACAAAGUUUCAUCUUUUGUUGACCCAAUUUUUGAUGGGAUUAUUUUAGGACGAAAGUGUCCUCGUGGUUCUGGUCGCUCUGCUGGCCUCACACCAGAACAAAAAAGACAAGCAAGGCGGGAACGUGAUAAAAAGCGCCGUCAAAGUUUGACACCCGAGGCUAGGGAAGAGAUAAAUGCUCGCAGAAGAGCGCACACGGAAAGUUUAACACUUGAAGAGAGGCAGGCUGCUAAUGCCUGCCGAAGGGUGGCUCGGAAAAACUUGCCAAUUGAGGAGAGACAAGAGGCCAAUGCUCGCCGUAGGGUUGCUAGGAAAAACAUAUCACCCGAGGCAAGGCAGGCACUACUAGAUCAUCGUAAGGCAAGCUAUGCAGCUAGGCGAGACACUCCGUGCACGGAGUCCAUCACAAUGCGAUGCCCCGAGCCAUGUGCUCUACAAGUAGACCACCCAUCAUCGAGCACACCAACAUUCAGAGUUAGAAAUGAUGGUAAGGUUUCCAACCUGUUCACCAUUUUUUGUCCGAAAUAUAAUGUUUCAUCCUUUACUUUCUCAUCCACAUGCUAGAUGAUAUGGAAUCCCUCCUCAACGGUAUCAGAGGUAUGGACACCAUCCAUGAGGAUGACAUGGAUGAGGAGUAUUACAUCUUCAGUGGUGAAGGUAAUUUUGACAUUGUUUGUUCAAUCCAUUUUAUAUAUAGUGCGAUGUGGUAACACACUCAUUAUAAAUGCGUACAGGUGGAAAUGUUAGCGAGGACGUCAACUUUAAUGAAGAAGUCGAUGACUUUGUAGAAGGCUCCAAUGCCCCGGAUCCUUAUGAUAUCGUUUACUCAAACAUACCUAAAAAUACACAUUCCCUAAAACCUGUUGCAAGCUGCAAACACUGUGGUGCAAAAAGGUUUCAGUAUGAGUCAAAGGGUUUCUGUUGUCGGUUGGGGAAAAUCAAGUUGGCAAAUGUAGCACCCAUCCCAGAACUUAUGAGGCUCUGGUCGAGUGAAGAUUCUGAUGCAAGGCAUUUUCGGGAGAGCAUUAGAUUCUUCAAUGGUCACUUUUCUUUCACAACCCUUGGUGUCAGCCUUGAUAAUAACUACACCAACAUGAGGUCAGGGGUGUACACGUUUCGGGCUCAUGGCCAGAUGUACCACAAUGUGCAUUCAUUUGGUCCAAGGGAUUUCGGACCGGACCAUUUGCAGUUGUACUUCUAUGAUGACGACCCCACCUUGCAACAUCGCUUUCGGCAUUCUCCUAGCCUUGACCAAGAGGUCAUUACAAAGUUGGUCAACAUCCUUAGGGACAACCCAUACUCCCAAAUUUUUAGGAGCCUAGGCCAAACCGAGGACCUUGCGGAGUAUAGAAUAUCCUUGAACACUGACCAAAGGUUGGACCAACGAAGGUACAAUGUACCGCUAUCGUCAGAGGUGGCUGCUGUCUGGGUCGAGGGCAAUGACCUUGUUAGGAAGUUCAAACGAAGUGUUAUCUUGUACGGAAAUGACAACACGAAGUAUGGUAUACAACCAUAUUACGGUUGCUAUGACCCCCUAUCGUACCCCCUCUUCUUCCCGAGGGGAGAGCUUGGUUGGCAUCCUCAGAUCCCAAAGGUUGGUGUCUCCUUAGAUGAGGUGCUCCAGUCUAAUGAAAAUGAAGACAACGACCCAGGUUAACCAUUUGGUGUACUUAUGUGUAGUUUCUUUUUUUUCUCCAUAUUGAAUGUCCACCUAAUUUUGUGCUACCCACUUUAUAGAAAUGAAUAGCCGCCUAUGCGUCUCUGUUAGGGACUACUACUGCUAUAGGUUACAGACAUGUCCUGGGAUAUUCAACCCCAUAUUGCAUGGCCAGCGUCUAUUCCAACAGUUCGCUGUUGACAUGUAUAUCAAGGUGGAGGGCACAAGGCUGGACUGGAUCAGGAAUCACCAAAAAGAGAUACGCGCUGACCUAUAUAAAGGCGUCAUGGAUAGCAUCACUACCGGAGAGAGUCGUGCAAAUGCGGUGGGCAAGAGGACGGUACUGCCUGGAUCAUUCCAAGGGAGCUGUAGGGAUAUGAAGCGGAGGCACAUGGAUGCCAUGGCAUUAGUCCAAAAGUAUGGAAAGCCAGAUAUCCUCCUUACAAUAACCUGCAAUCCCAACUGGGAAGAGAUAGUUUGUGCACUAGAACCUGGCCAAACCCCACAAGACCGCCCUGAUCUCAUUGUUAGAGUAUUCAAAGCUAAGUUGGAGGACCUAAAGAAGCAGCUAUUCAAGAAGCACAUCCUCGGCAAGGUAAUUGCGUAUGUGUAUGUAAUUGAGUUCCAAAAGAGAGGCCUCCCACAUGCUCACUUCCUGUUGAUCAUGGAGUCCGGAUACAAGCUCACAACUCCAGAGCAAUAUGAUCGCCUCAUCUUAGCUGAGCUUCCAGACAAGCAUAAGUAUCCGGAGCUAUAUGCGAUGGUAAUAAAGCAUAUGAUGCACGGGCCUUGCGGGGUCUUAAACCCCAAGAACGUGUGCAUGCAGGAUGGAUGUUGCAAGAAUCGGUACCCACGUCCAUUUAACACGACUACCGUCCAAGGAAAGGACUUGUACCCCAUUUACCGGAGACGUGACGACCAUCGUCGAGCACAAGUUCGAGGGAAAAUUCUAGAUAACAGGUGGGUUGUGCCAUAUAACCCUUACCUCCUGAGGAUGUACAAUUGUCAUAUCAAUGUUGAGGUGUGCUCUAGCAUAAAGGCCGUUAAGUACCUUUACAAGUACAUAUACAAGGGCCACGAUCGGACUUCGGUCUCUCUUGAUGAGCCUGAUAGUAAUGGCGAAAUUGAUGAGAUCAAGAGAUACUUAGAUGCGAGGUGGGUUACACCACCAGAGGCACUAUGGAGGAUUUAUGGCUUCCACCUUAGUGAAAACUUCCCAUCUGUGAAGCAAUUGCAACUUCAUCUCCCAGACAUGCACAUGAUCUCGUUUAACGCGGACCAUGAUCUGAAUGACGUCGUCACUCGUGAGGGUGCAUCCAAGACAAUGCUCACAGAGUAUUUUGAGGCUAACAGGACAAUUACGGAGGCUCGAGGAAUUCUAUACAAGGAUUUCCCAGAAAAGUUUGUAUGGCACGCGACCCUGAAAAUAUGGAAAACGAGGACGAAACAGUUCCAGGUUGGUAGAAUCGUGUCGGCUCAUCCUGCUGAGGGAGAACGGUACUACAUGAGGGUGUUGUUAAACCAUGUGACCGGAUCGACAUCGUUCGAAGACCUGAGGACGGUGGAUGGUGUCCUUUGCCCAAGCUUCCGAGAAGCUGCUGAAAGAAGGGGUCUCGUUGAGGCUGACAACACCCUUAACGAAUGUCUUACAGAGGCUGAGCUAUUCCAGAUGCCAUCCUCGUUGCGUAGGCUCUUUGCAACUAUCUUGGUGUUUUGCGAGGCUAGCGAUGUGCGCGGGCUCUGGGAUAAGCACCUAGGUGCAAUGUCAGAGGACUAUUGACGGAUCCACACAUGCCCACACAUAGUGGAGCAGAAGGUGUUGCUAGACAUCAGGAACAUGCUGCAAUCGAUGGGAAAAGACAUAACGUUGUUCCCUUUGCCCAACAUUGAUGAGUCGCAUGACACUAUCGGUGGCGAGGGUAGAGAGAUCAUUGAGGAGUCCUCAAUCGAGGUAGACAUUGAGCACGCUUCUCUAGCAUCCUCCCUUAACCUCGAGCAAAAAUCCGCCUACGAUGAGAUAUUAUCCGCCAUCGAUAGUGGCAAUGGAGGUGUCUUCUUUGUAGAUGGCCCGGGAGGCACUGGGAAGACUUUUUUAUAUAAAGCAUUACUUGCGAAGGUUCGUAGCGAGGGCAAGAUGGCCGUGGCAACUGCGACAUCGGGAGUGCAGCAUCUAUCAUGCCUGGAGGCAGGACCGCACACUCAAGGUUUAAGAUCCCGCUCAACAUUGACGAAGGCGCAACAUGUAGCUUUACGAAGCAGAGUGGGACGGCCAAGCUCCUUCGCAUGGCAUCUCUCAUAAUAUGGGACGAGGCCUCCAUGACAAAGCGCCAGGCAGUUGAGGCACUCGACAAUAGCAUGCGGGAUAUAAUGGGCCGACAUGACCUGCCAUUUGGGGGGAAGGCCGUUGUGUUUGGCGGGGACUUUAGGCAGGUCCUCCCAGUUGUCCGGAAGGGGACAAGGCCCCAGAUUACCGACGCGACUUUGCGCAUGUCAUACCUAUGGGAAAGCAUGCGACAACUCAAGCUCAUUCGUAACAUGAGGGCACAUAACGAUGAGUGGUUUGCAGAUUUCUUGCUAUGUGUCGGGAAUGGCACCGAGGAGACAGACGAGGACAGCAACAUUUGCCUGCCUCAAGAAAUUUGUGUGCCGUGUACUGGGAAGGACGCUGACCUUGACAAGCUAAUUGAACAUGUCUUUCCUUGUCUAGAUGAGAACCUGACCGACCCGAAUUACAUCACAUCUCGAGCAAUUCUAUUGACCAAGAAUGAAAAUAUCGACACGAUAAACUUGAGGAUGAUAGAGCGUUUCCAAGGUCAAGAGAUGGUAUAUCACAGCUUCGAUCGGGCGGAGGAUGAUCCCCACAACUACUACCCCUCUGAAUUUCUCAACUCACUCACUCCAAAUGGGCUUCCUCCACAUGUUCUAAAGCUGAAGAUUAACUGUCCAGUUAUACUUCUGCGGAACAUCGACCCUGCUAAUGGACUAUGCAACGGAACAAGGUUGGUUGUUCGGGGGUUUCAAAAAAACGCUAUCGAUGCUGAGAUUGUGCUAGGACAACAUACUGGAAAGAGGGUGUUCCUCCCUCGUAUACCCUUGUGCCCCUCCGAUGAUGAGAUGUUCCCUUUUCGGUUUAAGAGGAAGCAAUUUCCAAUAAGGCUAAGUUUUGCUAUGACAAUCAACAAGGCACAAGGGCAGACCAUUCCUAAUGUUGGUGUUUACCUGCCUGAUCCUGUUUUCUCCCACGGCCAGUUGUACGUCGCACUGUCUAGAGCCACCGCUAGAAGAAAUAUAAAGAUAUUAGCCAUCUCUAAUUGCGACAGGGAUGUCCGAUCCAAAUCUAGAAAGUCUAGAGGAACAAAAACUCGAAAGAUCCUAGACACCGCUGGAAAUGGCAAAAAGGGCAACGAUUUGCUGUCCAAGUCAGCCAAGUCUCAAGGGACAAUUACGCGAAACAUAGUGUACAGGGAAGUUCUCACAACAUAGACAUUUGAGCGAAUUCUAAAAAGGUUACCAUGUAGAAGGCCACAAGCAGUUGUACAUACUUUUUACUCAUAUAUGUACAAGGGAGCUCGAUUUUGAUGUACAUUCUCCGUAAUGUGUCAUGUUCUUAACGACCUUUUUUUUUAUCCUAUUAAUUGGGAGCUUUCUCAUUCCCUGGCUCAAUAAUCUCUUUAUGGCAGUAAUGAUCGAAUGUGCUAUUAUAUUUCUAUGUGCUUUCAGAUUUUGUAGUGUUUUGGUGGAAUGAGAGAUAUGUACAUAACAAAAGCAUAAUAGAGAUACAUGAACUGAACAAAAGUGACAAAAACAUGUUAUGCUAGCCUUUAAAUUUUGUUGUGUACUUUGCUAUCUUUAGAAGAUUUAGAAGACACAUGAACUGAACUUUACCUUGCAGUUAUUUUCUCCUCUCUCAUCUCUAGAGAAGCUUGUUCAUUCAACUCAUCUUGUAAGUUCCAGACCGUCAUUUUCUAAAAGUAGAGCAUGGUAUCUGUUUCACAGGAGCAUUCAUGAGGGACACCAAAAUGUGCUAGAGGUCAUCGAACUCUGUACUUCCAAUUAAGGAGGUCCUCUGUUUUGGACUGCGGUUGAUAUUCGAGGAGGAGCUAUGUCCAUUCACUUGUAUAUGCGAAAGUGAGUUUGGCUCUUUCUAUUUUUGGUCCGAUCAAACUAUCAUUUGAUAAUUCAUGUCCUGCUGACUUGUUUUGAGUUGUCCAAUUAUUUUUCCUAUGACACGUUGCAAUUCUUUUGUCAAUUUUAAUUUGCAUUGUAAAAUACAUUGAGUUGAUUUCUAAUAAAUACAGAGAAUGCAUCUGACUUUGAGAAUUACAUAUUCCUGGCUGUUGGAAGAAUGGGGUCAAGUAGUGUGAUUGCCUUCGAGUUGAGUUUGUACAUGAGGCAGGUAAGAAAAGCCACCUUAUGGAUCUGCUAUAUGCACAAAGAGAGCGUGCAGAUCAUGGAAACGUAAUAAUUUUGCCUUGCCUGCUAUUAGUUCUUUUAUUCAAUCAAUUUCUCUAAUGUUUUUGUUGUUAGUUUAUCUUAAUUAAGAUCAAUGUCGUAUUGUGUACUGUAUUAGAUUACAAAUGCUUGUGCAGUUGCACAGUUGCAGUGCCAUUAUACAAGCAAAAAAUGCACUAUCACAUUGCUGGAUCUGAACCUAGAUGUUGGUAACACAGUGUACUUGAAUGCAUAGCUAUGUUUCCUGUUUCAAUAAUAAAUAAAUAAAUGCCUACAGCUAUGGUACAGUAUGACAUGUCUCAGUCACUUCCUCUCUCUUUCAUGGUCUUUCAUUCACCCCUUCCCUAGGCAUGCAAUCGAUUAUAGCUUUUAGCAGGCCUCUGGUUAUCUACCUACAACCCCCUCCUCUGUUCUGCUAAUUUUAGUCCUACUAUUUCUUAGAUAGCGUGUAGUCUUUGUGGUGCUACUAGCCAAAAACACAUUGGCAUAAACCAAAAACACAACAUUCUUAUUUUGGUAUUAGUGUCUUUACCUAUUCUGCAAAAAAGUUGGUACAAAAAUAAAAAGUUUGGCGUGUAUAUAGAUGUUGCUGACACAAUGUACUUGAAUGCCUAUAGCUAUGUUUCCCAUUUGAAAAAAGAAAGAGUCCCUACAGGCUAUAGCUAUGUUACAGUCUGGUUUGACAUGGUAUUGCAUUGCCCUUUCUUUUGUUUUACCAUUUCCCCAUGUUUGCAAUCGAUUAGCUUUAUGUAGGCCCAAGUUCCCAACCCAAAUAGAAUAUUUUAUAACCCUUCUUACAAUUGUUUUUAAACUUCAGUACAGUGAAAGUGACUUCGAUGGAACCAAAAUAUCAAAUCUCUCUCUCUCUCUCCCCCCUCCCCUGAUGUUAUAUAAUCCAAGUAAGUCCCUCUCUCUCUCUCUCUUCUCUCUCUCUCUCCUGAGCCAGUUCUAAAUCUAAAUAGAUCCCCUCAGUCUCUCCCCAGCCCCUCUCUCUCUCUUCAGUGUCCAAUCGAAGAUCUGGUUCCUGCUCUGGCUCCCCUCCCCAAUCUGCCUCCCCCUUAUCUGUCUCUCCAUGGGAACUGUCAACAACUUCGACCUGUCAAUGUAUGUGCUCCCUUCCCCAAUAUGUUGUUCUCUCCUUGCAGGGGUAGAGCACCAAUCACUCAGGAUGAAUCGACCUAGCUAGGCAGUAGUCUGCGGAUGGGAAAGGAGCUCCUGCUAGCUGGUAAGUCUAUCUUAACCAUAUCUUUUGCUUCUGCUCAGUCUACAUCUUCUCUCCCUGAACCAUGCCAUUAGCACGCUCCAAUCUUCACAUUCACACUUCUAUAUAAAUGGUGCUAACCUCUGCCUUCCUUUCCUCAGGAGCACUUUCCUCCUCAGGUGCACAAGCACCACCGAAGUAGAGUGUCUCUCUCCAUUGCACUGCAGCACCAUCACCAAAUAACAGGUCGUCUCCUCUCACCUUUUCUGUAGCAUCGGCAUAUUCAUUCCUGAUUUGUAGCAGUAUAACAAUGAAUUACAUUUCAUAGAUGCAUGCUAUUAUCUGAAAACUUCAUUGUCUAUUAGAUGAUUCUUAUCUUUUUCAAAUGUGAUCUCUUGAAGAGCUCUGCAUAGUAUAACUCAUGGUGUUUGUAGUCAGGUUUAAUUUUACCAUGUGAUGCAUGAAAUUUUUCCAUGGAAAGUUACCUGCUAAACUUUUAUGUGUUUUAUUAUCUUCUUGUCCUUCCCAUGCUUGGUAUUGCCUGUUCAUAUAUGGACUCAGCAUUUUCAUUGCUUGUGUUUUUUUAGCAUGAAGCGCCAAAGAGUUUGUGCACCACAUAUCCCAACUCUGAAGGAUGUCCAUCACGGCACCAGAUGGAGUUUAUGUCUCCGAGUAUACCACAAGUUUCAUGUUGAGAGAAUUGGACAUGGUAGGAAGAGGGUCAACUUUGUUCUGUUGGAUGCAGAGGUAAUGUGUGCACAUAUUUCCACUUAUGAGUUGUAUAUUUAUAAAUCAUGCAGUAUGUAAGUUUUUUUUCGUUCCGAUAGGGCACAAAGAUGGCUGCCACCAUAUAUGAUGACCAAGUUGAUCGUUUAGAUCCAUUGCUUAAAGAAGGCAUAGCCUAUUAUGUGUCGAUGAUGUCUGUUGAACCAAUUUCAAGUACGCAACGACGAAUGUUUGCUGAUAAUCCUUAUGAAUGUCAUUUCACUUCCGUCACUCAAGUGUUUGAGAUGAGAAACAUGGGUGAAGGGACAAUCCCUUUCUUUCCUCCCUUCCUUCCAUGUGAUCGGAUUUUCCCAUCCACUCUUUAUAAUGACAUCUAUGUCGGUAAGUUGUGUACUUUACUACUGAUUUAGUGUAUUUGUAAGAAACAAAAAUGUUCUUAGACCUCUUUUCUGUCUAUCCCAUGUUAGAUGUCAUUGGAAUGGUUUUGUAUGUAAGCUCAGUGGCCUUUGCGGAUGGCAUCUAUAAUAGGCGAAUCCCAUUUAGGAAUCUUCUUCUGAUGGAUGACAAGUAUGUGUGCUUAGUUGUUUAUAUUUGUAUUCAUGAAUCUUGAAUUGUUCCAUAAUUAAUAUAGAAUUAUUCUAUGUCUUGGCUGAACUAUUUUGUGCAUCUACAGGUUUAAUUUUGUGAACGUAUGUGUGAAGGACAAAAUGGAAAGUGGCCACACUCGUGCUUGGGCAAGAAGUGCUGAGGAGUGUACAAUUGUUAUUGUUACCAUGCUGAGAGUAAAGCAUGCUGGUAAGUACGAUAUGUUAGUGGUUGUUUGCAGCUUCAGUUCGUAAGGAUAGAUUGAUAGCUUAUCACCAUAAAUCUUUGAACAUUAUUUACCCAGGAAUUGUCCUUUCAGAUGCAAUGUAUGUUAGCGAGAUACUAGCACCACCUAGAAAAAUAUUUAAAUUCAUAAAGCAGUGCCAAUAAAAUAAGGGUGGCGUUCUGUAUCAAAACUAAUUAUUUCACUAAAGAAACUGAGUCAAAUGUUGGCAUGGUACAUUGAGAUUAAUGCUAGAGGAUAGAUUCAAAAUUCACCACAAUUAGAACAUGCACAGGUCUGAAAGUAGAUUGAAUGGCCGUGGAUUUGGCUGGGUACAAAUUAAAUGUAUGUACCAUAUAACUAAUGGAUUUCUCUAAUAUGUGAUUGUUGUUACUUAACUUGAGCAAUGUCUGCAUACUACUACCUUCAGUAGGGUGCACUUUGGUCCAGAUGUUGAUGUUGCACGUCAGAUGAAAAAGAGGUGAUGACUUGUGAUGCUUACUCUUAUUUGGAUAUUGUUAAAAUAUCUUGACUAAAUUUGUGUAUUUUGUAGGAUCAACAAUGACCUUAGUUGAUCUACUUUAAGUCAGCACAAACAGUGGAAGGAGCCUUUUGUAGUCACCUUUUGAGCCAAGGAUGCUAGAAGAAGUAAGAAGUUGAAGCCUUAGGAGACAAACACAAAACACACCAGCUGUGUGUGCAUCGAUGAAAAUGAACCUUUUGCAACCACCUUUCAAUGUUUACAUAUGUUUAUUUUGUUAUUAUGGCCUCUUAGCACUACUUGUGGCCUAAAUCAUGUUAUGGUGGAUUGGAAAAUGCCGUCGCUGUUAUGGAUGAAAAUGUCGUAAUUCUACUUUAUCACAAGUUAUGUUAUUUUGUGAUCUAAAUAGCUGUGUUCCUUGUGAGUAAGGAUAAGAAUCUUUUGAAACUUUUCGUUGUGAGUCUAAUUGCAAAUGGACAUGAGCUUUAUUUUAAGAGUCUGUUUAUUACUUUUUGUUGCUUUGUGUUAGAUAGCUCACCAGGGAUUAAAUAAAUAAAGUAAAUAGUUUUGGUAACAAUCAAAUAUGAGAAUAGGUGUUAUGAUUUUUUAGCAAUGCAAGGUGGUUCCGUGGCAGCGCACGGGCACCUUACUAGUAAUAAUAAAAAGCCCGAUUUUACAAUUUAAGUUCAAUAGCUAAUCCUCGUCGCCAGAAGAGAAUACAAUCAGAACUUGGUCCGUCGGUGGACGUGCGCGUGCUGUAUCCCGCGGCGUUGGGUUGUCGCGUUUGUGGUGAGACCCAGGGGUGCUGAGUGUUGCAGCGAGGUCGUCCUCGAUCCUGACUGCGCGAAGCCGGUUGCGCGCGUCCGCUGCCCGACGCUCAGCUUCCUGUGUGAUUUUCUGGGCAUCGUCUAGCGCGAUAUUUGCAAGUUCCACCUUCCUCCUAGCUUCCUCCUCUAGCAUACGAGCAUCGGCAGCUUCCAUCUUGGCUGCGAGGGAGUGGUUCGUUGCCUGUUCGAGGCAUUGGGCAUACGUGGUGCCCAUCUUGAGUAACGGAAAACGAAGAUGGUUAAUGAGAUGACGAUAGUAGUUCGAGGAAUACGAAUGUACCGGUGUACCUCUAGCUGCAUGGGGGCGACGAAACCCGUGUGGAAGUCGGAGGACAAGCCUUGGAGCUCGUUCUCUAUGAAGUAGCCGUCGUCGUCUGAAGGUUCGUCCUCUUUUGGCCAGAGGACAGGAUCAGAAGAGAACGAUGAAGGUGCUUGUGUAGAGUUAGCGGCAGUUGCCGGGCCAGAUGAUGGUACGGAGGCAGAUGUACCGCCGGUGGAGUAUGUGCCAGAGCAGUUGAGCCACCAGGGCAUCUUUUGCCAUGACUUCGCUUCUUGGGUGGCAUUGGAAGGAGGGCGUUGAGCGGCGCGUGCGUGUGUGUGUGAUAGUUGCUACGAGGAAGGUUAAUACAUUGGCAGCGAUGGAGGGUGGUAGGUUAUUUCAAAGAUGUUGGAGUUGAAUGGAAUUCGUGCUGAAAGCGUUCUGACAAACAGGUUUGUACUUGUGAGAGGGCAAUAAAUUCGGUCCCCCGGAAUGUACUUUCGGGCAGCACAACAAAAUCCAGGGCGCGGGCACAUCUGGGUGAAUUGAUGGCCAGGUUGAGCUAUUUAUGUCCCUGGGUCCGCCCCCAUGGUUAAUGCAGGCUAUCUCAAUAAAUUCAUGUUGCUUUGUUGGGUAGAGAACGGUCGGAUGGCCCAUGAGAUCUCCGUUAAUGAACGUCGCGGACAGGGUGAAGCCACACAUCUGGCGCAUGUGCUGCUUUGUUGGGCAGGCUACGUUCGGAUGGCCCAUGAGAUAUUUACGCUAAAAUGUACCAGAUCAAUUGCGCAACAAAUGGCCCAUGAGAUCUUUGCGGUAUCAAUGGCCCAUGAGAUCUUUACGUGAAAAUGUCCCAUGGCCCAUGAGAUCUUUGCGCUAACAAUAUUCGCAUGUUUUGUUGGCCCAAAUAACGCAACACCGUGUGCCAUGGGACAUGGGAUGGCCCAAGAGCCCUGUUAUUAACAUGUGCUACGAUCGCACAUUUGUUGGGCUAGGAAAACGCAAAACCCCAUCUCCCAUGCUGUCGCGGGCUUCGUCAACGGUCGAACGGCCCAUGAAAAACGCCAUCUCAUGAACCAGAUCGUAGCAC
RNAcentral lists this long non-coding RNA (84789 nucleotides) under Brachypodium distachyon (stiff brome). RNAcentral describes it as "long non-coding RNA (BDIS_LNC003394)". Lineage: Eukaryota; Viridiplantae; Streptophyta; Magnoliopsida; Poales; Poaceae. The record is from RNAcentral.